GCCACCAUACCUACCUAUUAUGGCAUUUCCAUAGCCAUUCCGAGAUAUAUUGCCAUGCAACUUUCCGCCGUUCCGUUCAUAUGACACGCAUUACUUUUUUCAUAUUGCUUUUUGCAUGAUCAUGUAGUUGACAUCGUAUUUGUGGCAAGGCCACCUUCAUAAUUUUCAUACAUGUCGCUCUUGAUUCAUUGCAUAUCCCGGUACACCGACGGAGGCAUUCAUAUAGAGUCAUAUCUUGUUCUAGCUUUGAGUUGUAAUUUUUGAAUUGUAAAUCCAUAAAAGUGUGAUGAUCUUCAUUAUUAGAUCAUUGUCCUAGUGAGGAAAGGAUGAUGAAGACUAUGAUUCCCCCACAAGUCGGGAUGAGACUUCGGACUUUACAGAAAAAAUAUAAAGAAAAAAAAAAGAGAAAGGCCAAAAAGAAAAAAGGGGAAAGGCCAAAGAAAAAAGAAAAAAAAAGAAAAAAAGAAAAAGAAAAAAAGAAUAGAAAAAAAUAAGAGAAAAAGAGAGAAGGAACAAUGCUAUUAUCUCUUUUUCCACACUUGUGCUUCAAAGUAGCACCAUGAUCUUGAUGAUAGAGAGUCUCAUAUGCUGUCACUUUCAUAUACUAGUGGGAAUUUUUCAUUAUAGAACUUGGCUUGUAUAUUCCAAUGAUGGGCUUCCUCAAAAUGCCCUAGGUCUUCGUGAGCAAGCGAGUUGGAUGCACACCCACUUAAUUUCUUUUGUUGAGAUUUCAUAUAUUUAUAGCUCUAGUGCAUCCGUUGCAUGGCAAUCCCUACUCACUCACAUUCAUAUCUAUUAAUGGGCAUCUCCAUAGCCCGUUGAUACGCCUAGUUGAUGUGAGACUAUCUUCUCCUUUUUUUUCUCCACAACCACCAUUCUAUUCCACAUAUAGUGCUAUGUCCAUGGCUCACGCUCAUGUAUUGCAUGAAAGUUGAAAGAGUUUGAGAUUAUUAAAGUAUUAAACAAUUGCUUGGCUUGUCAUCGGGGUUGUGCAUGAUUAAAUACUUUGUGUGAUGAAGAUAGAGCAACAACCAGACUAUAUGAUUUUGUAGGGAUAACUUUCUUUGGCCAUGUUAUUUUGAGAAGACAUGAUUACUUUGAUUAGUAUGCUUGAAGUAUCACCAUUUUCAUGUUAAUAUGAACUUUUAUUUUGUAUCAUUUGGAUCUGAACAUUCAUGCCACAAUAGAGAAAAUUACAUUGAGAAUUAUGCUAGGUAGCAUUUGAUACGAAAAAUUUCUUUUUUAUCAAUUAUCCUACUCGAGGACGAGCAGGAAUUAUGCUUGGGGAUGCUUGAUACGUCUCCAACAUAUCUAUAAUUUUUGAUUGUUCCAUACUAUUAUAUUACCCUUUUGGAUGUUUAUGGGCUUUAUUUUACACAUUUAUAUCAUUUUUGGGACUAACCUACUAACUGGAGGCCCAGCCCGUAUUGCUGUUUUUUGUCUAUUUCAGUAUUUCGAAGAAAAGGAAUAUCAAACGGAGUCCAAACGGAGUGAAACCUUCAAGAGCGUGAUUUUUGGAACGAACGUGAUCCAGAGGACUUGGAGUGCAAGUCAAGAAGCAGCCGAGGCCUCCACGAGAUAGGAGGGCGCCCCCCUAUAGGGUGCGCCGCCUGUCUCGUGGGCCCCUCUGUUGUCCACCGACGUACUUCUUCCUCCUAUAUAAGCCUACGUACCCCGAAAACAUCUAGGGAGCCACCGAAACACAAUUUCCACCGCCGUAACCUUCUAUAUCCGCGAGAUCUCAACUUGGAGCCUUCGUCGGUGCUCCGCCGGAGGGGGAAUCGACCACAAAGGGCUUCUACAUCAACAUCCUUGCCCCUCCGAUGAGUUGUGAGUAGUUUACCACAGACCUACGGGUCCAUAGUUAUUAGCUAGAUGUCUUCUUCUCUCUUUUUGGAUCUCAAUACAAUGUUCUUCCCCUCUCUUGUGGAGAUCUAUUUGAUGUAAACUCUUUUGCGGUGUGUUUGUCGAGAUCCGAUGAAUUGUGGGUUUAUGAUCAAGUUUAUUUAUGAAUAAUAUUUGAAUCUUCUCUGAAUUCUUUUAUGUAUGAUUGAGCUAUCUUUGCAAGUCUCUUCGAAUUAUUAGUUUGGUUUCGCCUACUAGAUUGAUCUUUCUUGCCAUGGGAGAAGUGCUUAGCUUUGGGUUCAAUCUUGCGGUGUCCUUACCCAGUGACAGAAAGGGUUGCAAGGCAUGUACUGUAUUGUUGCCAUCGAGGAUAAAAAGAUGGGGUUUAUAUCAUAUUGCUUGAGUUUAUCCCUCUACAUCAUGUCAUCCUGCUUAAGGCGUUACUCUGUUCUUAUGAACUUAAUAUUCUAGAUGCAGGCAGGAGUGGGUCGAUGUGUGGAGUAAUAGUAGUAGAUGCAGGCAGGAGUCGGUCUACUUGUUGCGGACGUGAUGCCUAUAUACACGAUCCUGCCUAGAUAAUCUCAUAAUUAUUCGCUUUUCUAUCAAUUGCUCGACAGUAAUUUGUUCACCCACCGUAAUACUUAUGCUAUCUUGAGAGAAGCCACUAGUGAAAACUAUGGCCCCCGGGUCUAUCUCUUAUCAUAUUUGCGUCCAAUCUACUUUUAUUUGCAUCUUUACUUUUUGCAUCUAUAUUAUAAAAUACCAAAAAUAUAUUUAUCUUAUCUUACUAUCUUUAUUAGAUCUCACUUUCGCAAGUGGCCGUGAAGGGAUUGACAACCCCUUUAUUGCGUUGGUUGCGAGUUCUUUGUUUGUUUGUGUAGGUGCGUGGGACUUUUGAGGAGCCUCCUACUGGAUUGAUACCUUGGUUCUCAAAAACUGAGGGAAAUACGUAUGCUACUAUUGUUGCAUCACCCUUUCCUCUUCAAGGAAAACCAACGCAAGCUCAAGACAUAGCAGGGGCGUCCUCCUCAAAGUGCUCACCAAGGUGGCAUACCGGAACCCCUGCGUCGACUUCACCAACGCAUUUGAGAGCUUACUAGAGGACACGGACCUCAAGGCGCUCGAAGAGCUUGUCGAGCCUAUCGCCAGCAGGGUUGAUGGAGUCAAAAGGUUGGAAGGCCAGCGCCGGGACUAGCUGCUUCACCUUCUCCUUGCCGCUGUGAACUCGGGCCCAAGAUGAUUUCAUCUUAAGUUAGAACCGCGACAUCCAUUGAUGUAAUAUAACUUGUUGUGUCUUGAAUUGAAUGCAUGAUAUCUUCUUGUUUGAUCCUUCUUUGUAUGGCAUACACCCUACGCUCAUUUGGAAAGGCUUCCGGUGCGCGCACCCUUGCCGCGAGCGGAUUGAGGAACAGAUCCUUAGCAUCCUACUGGGGGUGUCGCAGCCGCCAAGACACCUUGCUGCUCGUAGCGCAACCACUUGAUCUGCCGAGCGGACUCGAAACAGAUAAAGGGCGCUACCAAUUGUGGCUGGGUUCCUUUGCGUGCAGGUUUUCCAUACAAGACUAAAUCAUUCGAGGAAAAUAACCUUAUAUUUUAAAAAAGAAAAUCACUUAAGGUUUGGUGUGACUUAGCUUUUCGUUGUUGUGUUCUUUUCCGCAAGAUGCCACUUCGAACAGCGCCUGUUAGUGCCCAUACUCUCUAUCCCCCGGCAAACAUUUAUGCGAGGGAAUCUUCUAUCCUUUUGGGAAAAAGAAAGAAGAGGAAAUAGGAGCAUGGAACCUUGGCGGUUCGAUAGUACUUACUAGAAGGAAUAGUAGCACAAUAUCCUUGGUGUAUAUAUAUAUAUACAUGAACAUGGGAAUCAAUAAGAACUGUACAUACUAAAAGUUAUUCAACUGCGCACAGAGUCCGCGCCUAGCUCUGUACAUAGGGCUAUAUGCCUUGCCGGCAAGGCUGGUACAAAAGGGGGGUUGCCGGGGGUCCCGGCAAUGGCGCCUUAUGGGUAAAACUUGCAAAGAUGUUUGAUAUUCUAGGAGUUGCUCACUGGAAUACCAUCUUCGGUCCCUAGGAGGACUGCGCUGGGCCUGGUGACUCGUAUUGCCCAAUAAGGGCCUUUGGAUAGCAGCCCUCUACUCUUCUUGCUUCUCCGCAGCAGGAGGAAAGUCAAGGAGCAGUUGUGCUUGUGCCAACGCUUAUGCUCGAGUGGGUGGCAGCGAUAAGCGCGAGGAACAAGAGGUGCUCGGACUUCUAAUUAUGUUAGAAGGAGCUCCAUCACGGUUCCGUGACCGUGCGCCGUUUUAACCAGCAUCUUGGCAUGCAUGUCGCCCUGCGCAUCUCGACAAUGAUGCUGAGGACUCUUCCGCGGCGACGCUUGGGGUCACCAAUGUCGUGGCGCUACUUGUCGCGCACGACCUGGGAGGAUCGCGGUGCAUGCGUCGGCGGGGUCGUUUUCCUACCCUUGGAGUCCCCGUGCGGCCCGUAGGCAGCAUGGCUCUAUCCUUGGGUCCGGUGGUGCGCGGAACGUCGUCGUGGCUGCGGACGCUGCCGCUCACCUGGAUCCUGGUACCAGAAUGGUGUGGGUGGUCUUGAUCUCCACCGCCACCAGCGUCUACCCUGUCGCCCGUCCGUGUCGGCGCGGGCAGACCGGCUCCAGACGAGCCGAUCAUUAUGAUCGUCUUCUUCUUGGGAGCCAUGAUGAUGAAGAAGCUGACGCGCUAAGUGCUAGACCAGGUUUGCACAACCUCGCCCCCCUACCUGGAGCGCCAAAGAUGUUGGGGAAAUGACACCUAUGGAAUCACGUGGAUCCCUUCUACGGUUGGCAGGGAAGAGGAAUGCACAAAGAGCAGGUCCAGCGAUCAACACGAAGGAUUUUUACCCAGGUUCGGGCCGCUGGGACGCGUAAAACCCUAGUCCUGCUUUGAGUGUAUAUUUAGUGUUCUUGAACCUUGACUAGCUGCUAUGCGUGUCUAGCCCAAAAGUUCAAAUCCUCCUCCAGUACGCCUAGGCCUCCUUUAAUACGUCCAAUGGGUCGCCAAAUUGGCACACAGGAGGUGUGAAGUAGCUAUAGAGCAUAUGCUUAUCACUGACAUUGUACGACAACGCAUUAAAUGUGCUGCUUAAGCUCCCUAACUUUAUUGGGGAGGGAGAUAGAGCCCGUCCUAUCCGUCGCUGCCUCACCCCAUGUUGACACGCAUUUAGGCUAAUGAGCCAUGCAGCACUAGGUUGACUGGCUAGCCGCUGCGCUGGAGCGGUGGCAGGACCUUCACAAAGAUCUGCAUGCCACCACGCAGGUGCUUGCUUAGUUGGCAGACUGGUCGCCGCGCUGGAACGACCGUGGGGUGGCGGAACCUUGUCGUGUGCAAGCCUCACUAUGGCUUCGCAGUUGUCCCCGACAAGAGUCUUGCCGGGGUCUCUUGGUCGUCCCCGGAAAGAGCCUUGCCGGGGGCUUCAUCCUCUGGUCUCCAUGAAGAUCUACAAGCCACCGGUCUUCAAAAAGAUCUACAUGCUACUACGCAUGUGCCCCGGAUCUUGGUCUUGACGUUGUCGAUGGUGUCAGAGCUCUCAGCCUCAAGGGUGGUGGCCUUGCUGGUGCUUCGCAAAUUACCCCGGCAGGGAUCUUGCCGGGGCUUCGCGAGCCAUUAUCGACAAGGGUCUUGCCGGGGGCCAACUUGUCUUCUGUUUUCUAAUUACUAGCUUGGAUGCUGCCUUGGUCAUCUUGUAUCUUGUCUCCUACUGCCCCUGCCUGGCCCUGCUACAGGUGCGACUGCAACAUGUGAUCGCACUUUGAUCUAUACAUUGAUGUAUUGUGUGUGCCAGCAUACUGAUCCAGGGAUGGCACAGAUACACAAAGGCUUGACCUUCUGAGGUCGGGUCGCUACAAGAUAAGUAUUUCCCUCAAUUUGAGAACCAAGGUAUCAAUCCAGUAGGAGACAACGCACAAAUCACCGAAUACCUGCACAAACAAUAAAACAACUUGCACCCAGCGCGAUAAAGGGGAUGUCAUUCCCUUCAGGGUUACUUGCGAAAGUGAGAUCUGAUAGAGAUAGAUAAACGAUAAAAUAAAUAUUUUUGGUAUUUUGGGUUUAUAGAUCUAAAAGUAAACGAUUGCAAAAUAGUAGAUCGGAAACUAAUAUGAUGGAAAAUAGACUCGGGGGCCAUAGGUUUCACUAGAGGCUUAUCUCAAGAUAGCAAAUAAUACAGUGGGUGAACAAAUUACUGCCGAGCAAUUGGUAGAAAAGCGCAAAAUUAUGACAAUAUCUAAGGCAAUGAUCAUGAAUAUAGGCAUCACGUCUGUGUCAAGUAGACCGAAACGAUUCUGCAUCUAGUAGUUUUACUCCACACAUCGACCGACUCCUACCUAAAUCUAGAUAUUAAGUUCCUGAAGAAUAGAGUAACGCAUUAAGUAAGAUGACAUGAUGCAGAUGAAUAAACUCAAGCAAUAAAAUGUAAACCCCAUCUUUUUAUCCUUGAUGGAAAUAAUACAAUACGUGCCUUGCUACCCCUGAUGUCACCGGGAAAGGACACUGCAAGAUUGAACCCAAAGCUAAGCACUUCUCCCAUUGCAAGAAAAACCAAUCCAGUUCGAAGAGAAUUACAGAGAUAUCAAAUCAUGCAUAUAAGAAUUCAGAGAAGAUUUAAAUAAUAUUCAUAGAUAAGCUGAUCAUAAAUCCACAAUUCAUCGGAUCUCAGCAAACACACCACAAAAAAGUAUUACAUGAAUAGAUCUCCAAGAACAUCGAGGAGAACAUGGUAUUGAGAAUCAAAGAGAGAGAAGAAGCCAUCUAGCUACUAGCUAUAGAUCCGUAGGUCUGAGGUAAACUACUCACGCUUCAUCAGAAGGGCAAUAGAGUUGAUGUAGGAGCCCUCCGUGAUUGAAUCCCCCUCCGUGAGGGUGCAGGAAAAGGUCCCUAGAUGGGAUCUCGUGGGUACAGAAGGUUGCGGCGGCAGAAAAGUGUUUUCAUGGAUGCUCCUGGUGGUUUGGGGAUAUAUAUGGGAAUAUAUAGGCAAAAGAAUUAGGUCAGGAGGGUCAAGGGGCCCACAAGGGUGGGGGCACGCCCUACCCCCCUGGGCGCGCCCUCCGUCCUUGUGGUCGUCUCGUGGCUCCUCUGACUUCAUCUCCAAGUCUCCUGGUUGUCUUCUGGUCCAAGAAAAAUCAUCGCGAAGGUUUCAUUCCGUCUGGACUCUGUUUGGUAUUCUUUUUCUACGAAACUCAAAAACAAGGGGGGAAAAUAGGAACUGGCACUAGGCUCUAGGUUAAUAGGUUAGUCCAAAAAAUAUAAAAUAGCAUAUUAAUUAAUAUAAAGCAUCCAAAACAGAUAAUAUAAUAGCAUGGAACAAUCAAAAAAUAUAGAUACAUUGGUGACGUAUCAAUGCCCAGUGCCCCAAAUUAGAUUGAAAAAAUCAUAUACGUGUACUUGAGUGAAUGUUUAGAACCCAUGCAAGGAAUGGGAAUGAAUUUCAAAACUCUGGGCAUCAUGGCUCGGCCUUUAACCUUGAGAAACUUGGUUUCCAAAUUCCUGUAAAUCCAAAACUCCCCUGAAAAUCAUGAGACUUGACAUGCUGUUAUGACAUGGCACCAACAUGUUGUGGUAAAAUAAUUGUCCGAUUUGGGACAAGUUUUGGUAUAAACUUCUCAGAAACCUAAUCUUCUCACAAAAGGCUAAUGGUUCUGAGGUGGAACGUGUCACCUCUGUGUGCGAAAGGACAUACACUCUUUCUUCCCGCCUUGAUUUAUUAUACAGAGGUAACAUGCAACUAUAGGAGUGUCGUGUUAAAAUUUAAAUUAUUUAGGGUUCGUUUGGCCUUUUAUACACUAUUUGAGUUUCUAGGCAUUUGAUGUGCAUAUUUCAAAUUUGAACAAUAAGCACAUGCCCCAGUGCACCAAACCGGGUUGAAAGAUAAUAUACAUAUCCUUGGUUGAAUGUUUAGGUCCCAUGCAGAAAAUGGGAUGAAUUUCAAACAUCUGGGCGUCGUGGCUCGGUCUUAAACAUUGAGAAACUUCCAUUUAAGGUUCCAAUAAAUCCAAACUCUCCUGAAAAUGCUUAAACUUGGCAUGGUGUUUUGAUAUGGCACCUACAUGUUGUGGCAAAAAAAUUGUCCAAUUUGGGACAAAUUUUGCUAUAAACUUCUCAUAACUGGCGUUUCUCUCAAAAAGCCUUAGGGUUCCGAGAGGGGGAACGUGUCACCUCUGCGUGCGAGACGACAAACGAUGCCUUAUCCCACAUUGAUUUAUUUUACAGAGGCAACAUGCAACUAUAGGAGUGUUGUGUUAAAAUUUUGAUUUAUUCAGUGUCCGUUUGGCCUUUUUAUACAUUAUUUGAGUUUCUAUGCAUUUAAUGUGCAUAAUUCAAAUUUGAACUACAGGCACAUGCCAAGUGCAACAAAUCGGGUUGAAAAAUUUUAUACGUGUCAUUGAGUGAAUGUUUUGGUCCCAUGCAAGAAAUGGGAAUGAAUUUAAAACGUCUAGGCGUCAUGGCUCGGCAUUAAACAUUGAGAAACUUGGUUUUAUAAAUUUUGUAAAUCCAGAACUCUCGUGAAGAUCAUGAAACUUGGCAUGGUGUUAUGACAUGGCACAAACUAGCUAUGGUAAAAAAUAAUUCCUGAUUUUAGACAAACUUCUCACAAACCGGAGUUUCUCUCGAAAAGCGUCAUGGUUCCGAGAAGGAACGUGUCACCUCUUUGUGCGAAACGACAUACAUUGCCUCUUCCCGCCUUAAUUUAUUUUACAGAGGCAACAUGCAACCAUAGGAGUGCCAUAUUAAAAUUUCGAAUUAUUAAGGGUUCGUUUGGCCUUUUAUACAUUAUUUGAGUUUCUAGGCAUUUAAUGUACAUACUUAGCAUUUGAACUACAUGCACAUGCCACAGAGCACAAAACCGGGUAUAUGUUUAGGUCCCGUGCAAAAAAUGGGAAUGAAUUUCAAACAUCUGGGUGUCGUGGCUCGGCAUUAAACAUUGAGAAAGUUGGUUUUAGAAUUCCUGUAAAUCCAAAACUUGCCUAAAAAUCAUGAAACUUGCCAUGGUGUUAUGACAUGGCACCAACAUGUUGUGGUAAAAAGUUUUUCCUAUUUGGGACAACUUUUCGUAUAAACUUCUCACAAACUGGAGCUGGUCCCAAAAAGCCUCAUGGUUCAGAGAGGGAAUGUGUCAUGUGUGUGUGCGAAACGACAUACUCGGCCUAUUCCCGCCUUGAUUUAUUUUAGACAGGCGACACACAACUAUAGGUGUGUUGUGUUAAAAUUUGGAAUUAUUCAAUGUUCCUUUGGCCUUUUUAUACAUUAUUUGAGUUUCUAGGCAUUUAAUGUGCAUAAUUCAAAUUUGAACUAUAGGCAGAUGCCCCUGUGCACCAAACCAGGUUGGAAAAUCAUAUACGUUUCCUUGGGUGAAUGUUUAGAUUCCAUGCAAGAAAUGGGAAUGAACUUCAAAUACAUCGGCAUCAUGGCUCGGCCUUAAACAUUGAGAGACUUGGUUUUAAAAUUCCUGUAAAUCCAAACUCGCCUGCAAAUCAUGAAACUUAGCAUGGUGUUAUGACAUGGCACCAACAUGUUGGGGUAAAACAUUUGUUCGAUUUCGGAAAAGUUUUGGUAUAAAAUUCUCACAAACCGGAGCUUCUCUCAAAAAUAAUCAUGGUUCUUAUGGUUCCUAGAGGGAACGUGUCACCUCUAUGUGCAAACCGACAUAUGCUUUCUCUUUCCACCUUGAUUUAUUUUACAGAGGCAACAUGCAACCGUAGAAGUUUCGUGUUAAAUUUUGGAAUUAUUCAGGGUCUGUUUGGCAUUUUGGUGCAUUAUUUGAGUUUCUAGACAUUUAACAUGCAUAAUUCAAAUUUGAAAUACAGGCACAUGCCCCAGUGCACCAAACCGGACUGAAAAAUCAUAUAUGUGUCCUUGGGGUGAAUGUUUAGGUCCUAUGCAACAAACGAGAAUGAAUUUCAAACAUCUGAGCGUCAUGGCUCGGCCUUAAACAUUGAGAAGCUUGGUUAAAAAUUCUUCUUAAUCCAAAACUUGCCUGAAAGUCAUGAAACUUGGCAUGGUGUUAUGACAUGGCACCAAAAUACUGUGGUAACAAGUUUGUCUGAUUUGGGACAAGUUCUUUUAUAAACUUUUCGCAAACCGAAGAUUCUCUCAAAAAGCCUAAUGGUUUGAGAGGGAAAGUGUCACCUCUAUGGGCGAAAAGACUUACGCUGCCUCUUCUCGCCUUGAUUUACUUUACAGAGGCAACUUGCAACUAUAGGAGUGUCGUGUUAAAAUUUGGAACGAUUCAGGGUUUGUUUGGGAUUUUUAUAGAUUAUUUGAGUUUCUAGGCAUUUAAUGUGCAUAAUUUUAAUUUGAACAACAGGCACAUGCCCAGUGCACCAAACCAGGAUGAAAAUUCAUAUAUGUGCCCUUGGGUGAAUGUUUAGGUCCCAUGCAAGAAAUGAGACUAAAUUUCAAACAUCUGGGUGUCGUGGCUCGACCUUAAACAUUGGAAACUUGGUUUUAAAAUUCCUAUAAAUCCAAAACUCGCUUGAAAAACAUGAAAGUUGGCAUGGUGUUAAGACAUGGCACCAACGAGCUGUGGUUAAAAAAAUCCGGUUUGGGACAAGUUUUGGUAUAAACUUUUCACAAACCGGAGCUUCUCUCAAAAAGCCUUAUGGUUCCGAGAGGGAACGUAUCAACUCUAUGUGUGAGAUGACAUAUGAUGCCUCUUCCAGCCUUGAUUUAUUUUAUAGAGGCAACAUGCAACCGUAGACGUGCCAUGUUAAAAUUUGGAAUUAUUCAGGGUCCAUUUUGCCUUUUUAUACAUUAUUGGAGUUCCUAGUCAUUUAAUGUGCAUUAUACGAAUUGAACUACAGGCACAUGGCCCAGUGCACCAAACCAGGCUGAAAAAUCAUAUACAUGUCCUUGGGUGAAUGCUUACGUCCCAUGCAAGAAAUGAGAAUGAAUUUCAAACAUAUGUGCAUCAUGGCUCGGCCUUAAACAUUAAUAAACUUGGUUUUAAAAUUCUUGUAAAUCCAAAACUCGCAUGAAAACCAUGAAACAUGGCAUGGUGUUAUGACAUGCCACCAACAUGUUGUGGUAAAAAAUCGUCCAAUUUGGGACAAGUUUUGGUAUAAACUUCUCACAAACAGGAGCUUCUCUCAAAAAGCGUCAGAGUUCCGAGAGGGAGCGUGUCACCUCUUUGUGCGAGACGACACACGAUACCUCAUCCCACCUUGAUUUAUUAUACAGAGGCAACAUGCAACUAUAGGACUGGCAUGUUAAAAUUUUAAAUUAUCCUGAGUUUGUUUGGCCUCUUUAUACAUUAUUUGAGUUUCCAGGCAUUUAAUGUGCAUAAUUAAAACUUGAACUACAGGCACAUGCCCGGUGUACCAAACCAGGUUGAAAAAUCAUAUAUGUGUCCUUAGGUGAAUGUUUAGGUCCCAUGCAAGAAUUGGUAAUGAAUUUCAAACAUCAGGGUGUAGCGGCUCGGCCUUAAACAUUGAGAAACUUGUUUUAAAAAUUCUUGUAAAUCCAAAUUCUCCUGAAAAUCAUGAUAUCUGGCAUGGUGUUAUGACACGGCACCAACAUGUUGUGGUAAAAAAGUUGUCUGAUUUGAGACAAGUUUUGGUCUAAACUUCUCACAAACUGGAGCUUCUCUCAAAAAGCCUCAUGGUUCCAAGAGGGAACGUGUCACAUCUGUGCACGAAACUACAUAUGCCGCCUCUUGCUGCCUUGAUUUAUUUUACAAAGGCAACAUGGAACCAUAUGAGUGUCAUGUUAAAAUUUGGAAUUGUUCAGGGUUUGUUUGUCUUUUUAUUAAUUACUUGAGUUUUUAGCCAUUUAAUUGUGCAUAAUUCAAAUUUGAACUACAAGCACAUGCCCCGUGCAACACACCAGGUUGAAAAAUCAUAUGUGUGUCCUCGGGUGUAUGUUAGGUCCCAAGCAAGAAAUGGGAAUGAAUUUCAUACAUCUGGGUGUCAUCGCUCGGCCUUAAACAUUAUGAAACUUUGUUUUUCCUAUAAAUCCAAACUCACGUGAAAAUCACGAAACUUUGCAUGGAGUUAAGACAUGGCACCAACAUGCUGUGGUAAAAAGUUUGUCCGAUUUGGGACAAGUUUAGGUAAAAACUUCUCACAAACCGGAGCUUGUCCCAAAAAGCCUCACCGAGAGGCAACAUGUCACCUAUCUGUGCGAAACGCAUACGCUCCCUCUUCCUACCUUGAUUUAUUUUAAAAAUGCAACAUGAAACCAUAGUAUUGUCGUGUUGAAACUCAAAAUUAUUAAAGGUUUGUUUGACCUUUUAAACAUCAUUUUAAUUUCUAGGCUUUAAUGUGCAUAAUUCAAAUUUGAAUUACAUGCACAUGCCCUAGUGCACCAAACCGGACUGAAAAAUCGUAUACGUGUCUGUGGGUGAAUCUUUAGGCCCCAUGCAAGAAAUGAGAAUGAAUUUCAAACAUCUAGGUGUCAUGGCUCGGCCUUAAACAUUGAGAAUGUUGGUUUUAGAAUUCCUGUAUAUCCAAAACUUGGAACUAUAGGAGUGUCGUGUCAAAAUUUGGAAUUUUUCAGGGUUCAUUUGGCUUUUUAUACAUUAUUUGAGUUGGUAGGCAUUUAAUGUGCAUAAUUUGAAUUGGAAUUAUAGGCACAUGCCCUAGUGCAACAGACUAGGUUGAAAAAUCGUAUACGUGUCAUUGGGUGAACGUUUAGAUGCCAUGCAAGAAAUGGGAAUGAAUUUCUUACAUAUUGGCGUCAUGGCUCGGCCUUAAACAUUGAGAAACUUGGUUUUAAAAUUGUUGGAAAUCCAAAACUCGCCUGAAAAUCAUGAAACUUGGCACGGCGUUAUGACAUGGCACCAACAUGUUGUGGUAAAAAAUUGUUUGCUUUGACACAAGUUUUGGUAUAAACUUGUCACAAACUGGAGCUUCUCUCAAAAAGCUUCAUGGUUCCGAGAGGGAACGUAUCACCUCUAUAUGCAAAACGACAUACCUUGCCUCUUGCCAGCUUGAUUUAUUUUAAAGAGGCUACAUGCAACCAUGUCAAGUUUUGUGAUUUUUAGGGUUCAUUUGGCCUUUUAUUCAUUAUUUUAGUUUCUUGUCAUUUAAUAUGCAUAUUUCAAAUUUGAACUACAGGCACAUGCCCAUUGCACCAAACCGGGUUGAAAAAUCAUAUGUGUGUCCUUGGGUGUAUGUAUAGGUCCCUGCAAGAAAUGGGAAUGAAUUUCAAACAUCUUGGCAUCGUGACUCACCUUAAACAUUGAGAACCUUUGUUUUAAAAUUCCUGUAAAUCCCAAACUCGCCUGAAAAUCAUAAAACUUAGCAUGGUUUUAUGACAAGCACCGACAUGUUGUGGUAAAAAAAUUCUAUGAGUUGAGACAAGUUUUAUAAUUCUUGUAAAUCCAAAACUAGCAUGAAAAUCAUGAAACUUUGCAUGAUGUUAUGACAACGCACCAACUUGCUGUGAUAAAAGAUUUGUCUGAUUUGAGACAAGUUUUGGUAUAAACUUCUCACAAACCCGAGCUUCUCUCAAAAACCCUCUUGGUUCCGAGAGGGAACGUGUCACCUCUGUGAGCGAAACGAGAUAAGUUGCCUCUUCCCGCCUUCAUUUAUUUUACAGAGGCAACAUGCAACCGUAGAAUUGUCGUGUUAAAAAUUAGAAUUAUUCACGGUUCAUUUGGCCUUUUAAUACAUUAUUUGAGUUUCUAGGCAUUUAAUGUGCAUAAUUAAAUUUAAACUACAGGCACAUGCCCCAGUACACCUAACCGGAUUGAAAUAUCAUAUAUGUAUACUUGGGUGAAUGUUUAGGUCCCAUGCAAGAAACAUGUAUGAAUUUCAAGCAUCUGGGUGUCUUGGCUUGGCCUUAAACAUUGAGAAAGUUGGUUUUAAAAUUCAUGUAUAUCCAAAGCUCGCCCGAAAAUCAUGAAACUUGGCAUGGUUUUACGACAUGGCACCAACAUGAUGUGGUCAAAAAUAUGCCUGAUUUGGGACAAGUUUUGGUAUAAACUUCUCACAAACCAGAGCUUCUCUCAAAAAACCUCAUGGUUCCGAGAGGGAACUUGUCACCUCUGUCUGUCAAAAGACAUAUGGUACCGCUUCAUGCCUUUAUUUAUUUACGGAGGCAAAUCAUAACCAAAGGAGUGUCAUGUUAAAUUUUGGAAUUAUUCAGGGGUCGUUUGGCCUUUCUAUACAUUAUUUGAGUUUCUAGGCAUUUAAUGUGCAUAAUUCAAAUUUCAACUACAUGCACAUGCCCUAGUGUAUCAAACUGGGUUGAUAAAUCAUAUACGCAUCCUUGGGUGUAUAUUUAGGUCCCAUAUAAGAAAUGGGAAUGAAUACCUAAUAUCUGGGCGUCGUGGCUUGGCCUUAAACAUUGAGAAAGUUGGUUUUGAAAUUCCUGUAAACCAAAACUAGCCUAAAAAUUAUGAAACUUGUCGGGUGCGGGCCUGGUUGUGGCCCUACAAUUGUCCCCGGCAAGAGUCUUGCCGGGGGCCUCGCAGUCGUCCCCGGCAAGGACCUUGCCGGGGGUCUUCGUUCUCUGGUCCCCAUGUAGACUUGUAGGCCAUUAGUGUUCACAAAGAUCUGCAUGCUACUAUGCACGCACCCCCGAGCCUUGGCCUCGACGUUGUUGAUGAUGUUAGAGCUCUUAGUCUCAAGGGUGAUGGCCUUGCUGGUGCUUCACGGGCUGCCCCGACAAGGAGCUAGCCGGGGCCAUGCAAGCCGCCCCGGCAAAGAUGUUGUCGGGGAGGUUCAUCUUGUCUUCUGCUCUCUGUUCACUGUCUUGAAUGUUGUCUUGGUCGUCUUGUAUCUCUCCUUCCACGGCCCCGCCAAGCCUUGUCGCAUGUGUGGCUAUAACUGCCCGUGCACAAGUAAGGGGUACUGAAAUGCCCAUACUUUUGUACACCGACAGGAGCCCCCGGGUCUGGGCCACACAUAAGCGCGAAGCGUUGUUGGGCUAGGCCCAGAUCAGUGCGCGGGCGCACAUGGCAGAGGUUAAUCGCUGUAAAGUUCUCGUCAGUUGCGCUUCCCCACGAUCCGCAUUGACUGUGUGACGUGGGGGUUGUGCGUGGAACGGUCGUAGCACGCCUGCGACACCUCACGUCCAACGGGAAAGAGGCGGCCCACUCCUUCCCCAUAAAAAGAGGAAGCCGCAGGGGAACUGCUCAUUUACAAAGUGGACUCGGGUCGUGGCUUGCAUGGCGCCCGCUCCCCACGAUCACGGGAUGGAAAAUGGUUGUCCCAAUUGUCUUUAUGCUUCUGGCUCACCCGCCAUGUGUCUCCAUGCCUUUGGAAGGGUAGGUGGUGGAUGCAGAGGGCACGUGUAUUUACACCAAGGCGGGAAACCGGGUGUCGCUGAUUGGAGUAGCGGGUCGGUCCUGAUUCCCCGCGCCUUUGGAGGCUGCAUUGGUCGAGCAGGGCAGCCGCCCUUGGGUUGAGAGGCUAGGCCUCGGCCCUGCCAUUCUAUAAAUAGGGUGGGGGAUGGUGCCUUUCCAAACUCACCUCCUUUCUCCCCUUUCUCCUUGGUAACCUUCUUCUGCUCGCCAUGGUGAGAGGGCGCGCUGGUGCUCCAAUGGCGGCGACGAGGGCUUCUGCUCGACAGCGCGUCCCUCCUCCUCCGGAGUUCGCGGCGGUGGAGCCCUCCAUGAGAGGGACAGGGAGGGGUGAGGCCAAGGUCACCGUGGCGCUCGGGGAAGAGGAGGACGGGGCGGUGCACCAGCUACGUCUCCGUCGGUGGCCCCUCCCCCAAUGGAGGGCCAUGUCGGGGACCAGCCCCGCGAGUUCUUCAUCAGGCUGUACAAGCCCAUGUGUGGUCAGCUCCGCCUCCCUACCCCGCUUGCUGGGGUAAUGGAGCUUGACCCACCGCAUGCCUUGAGGCUGCAUAUGAGGGGUUGCGGGUACGGCAGCAUGUGGGUCGACGUCGACUUCCCCGCUCCUCACGUCAUGUAUCUCCGCCAUGGUUGGAAAACAUUUGCCCGCGCCCAUAGCUUGUCGAAGGGGCACGUUCUCCAGUUUAAGUUAAUGGAGAGCGGCCUACUCUCCUUCAAGGUCUUUGGGUGCUCGAGAAUCCUCUUAGGGUGCUACGCGGAGAGCUCCACCGACGACGAAAGCUCCUCCUCAAGCGACGAUGAUGAGGAGGGCUGCGACAGCGACUGCAAUGGUAGCGGGCAGGAGGACAAUGACUCCGACUCCGGCUGACCAUCAGAGGCAGCACCAUCAUCUGCACACCCCCCCCCGACAACACACCUUGUCGGGGGUGGUGCCCUGCUGGCUCUGGAAUCGGUGGUUGGUGGGUUACCUCUGCCAUGCUCUCCAUCGACGCAUUCCCCAUGCCUCCCUCUGCCUUCACUUGCCGUGCCUGGGGAGGAAAAGGGCAAGAACGGGGAUUACGGGGCACUUAUCUUUUUUUUAACGUGUAGGCACUUGCCAUAUCUUAAUUUUCUAGAUAAUGUAAUCUCUCGAGCCCAUGCUUAUGUUCUAUAACAUGUGUACUUGCAUCAGUAUGUCAAUGAAAAAGAUGAGCCUUGUCGGGAACCCAUGCAUGUAUAUGUCCAUGCAAAGGCGAAAGGCCUCUUUAAUGUAAAUGAACGACGUUUCCCAGCAAGCUACCUUGUCGGCAAGCUACCUUGCCGGCACCCUCUGUGCCUGUCGGAGAGUCACAUCUGCCGGGUUACAGACAAAGGGUCCAGCCCCCUGCCAGUCUCUUUUUACCAAAGGCUACUGCGAGCAUCCUGACCAAAACAACGUUCGAGUCAGGGAUGGGAGCACCUAAGUUUAAGAAGAGUGGCGAGUUUUUCUAAUGCACAAGUAAUAGGUUAUGAACAUGAAUGGACAAGAGGUAAACUUUAUUUGUCUGGUUUGCUGGGGAUCGCAGCACCUGGCAGUCUUCUCAACCUCUUGUCGGAGCCAAGUUCAUGACAGGAAUGGCAGAACCGAGCAUCUUCCCUGUGGCUGGGAAGAAGAAAGGAUAGGAGCAUGGAACCUUGGUCGUUCAUUAGUAUCUGCUUGAAUCAAGGGUAGUACAAUAUCCUGGACAAGCAUGCAUGCAUAUACAUAUAUACAUAAAUGUGGAAUUAAUAGGAAACCGUACAUACUGAAAGUUAUUUGACUGCGCACAGGGUCUGUGCCUGGCUUUGUACAUAGGGUUACAUGCCUAGCCGACAAGGCUAGUACAAAAGGGGGGUUGCCGGGGCUCCCGGCAACUGCCCCUUAUGUAUAAAACUUGCGAAGAUGUUCGAUAUUCCAGGAGUUGCUCACCGAAAUACCAUCUUUGGUCUCCAAUCGGACUGCGUCGAGCCUGGUGACUCGGAUUACCCGAUAAGGGCCUUCCCACUUUGGCGUCAACUUGUUUGAAUUCUUGGCAGAUUGAAUACGCCGAAGAACAAGGUCGCCUUCCUCAAGGCUUCGGGCUUGAACCUUGCGACUAUGGUAGCGGCCCAAGGCUUGCUGGUAGCGCGCGGCUUGCAUAGCAGCCCGAACACGAUCUUCCUUAAGGAGUGUAGCAUCAUCUUUGUGCAACUCCUCUUGCUCAAGCUCAUCAUAAGCAAGCACUCGAGGUGACCCGUAUAUGAGUUCUGUGGGGAGAACCGCCUCUGCCCCGUAUACUAGGGAGAAAGGUGUCUGGCCAGUGGCUCGAUUCGAUGUCAUUCUGAUUGACCAAAGAACCAUUGGAAACUCAUCAAUCCAGUGUCUCCCUCACUUGCGUAUCCAGUCGAAAGUUCUUGUAUUGAGGCCUCGCAACACUUCAGCAUUUUCCCUUUCUUCCCGGCCGUUGCUUCUCGGAUGAGCAACAAAAGCAAAACAAACUUUGCUGCUGAUGUCUUGGAUAUACUGCAUGAAAGUGUGGCUCGUGAACUGCAUGCCGUUGUCGGUGAUGACUCUGUUUGGCACACCAAAAUGGCAGACUAGUCCCUUGAAGAACUUGAUGGCUGAUUGUGCCGUCACCUUUCUCACUGGUUCCACUUCUGGCCACUUUGUGAACUUGUAAAUUGCAACGUACAAGUACUCAAAGCCCCCGACAACAUGGGGAAAGGGACCCAGUAUGUCGAGUCCCCAGACUGAAAAUGGCCAGGAAAGAGGGAUUGUCUGAAGAGCUUGAGCUGGUUGAUGAAGUUUCUUUGAAUGGAACUUGCACGCUUCACACUUGGUUACUAGUGCAGUUGCAUCCUGGAGAGCUAGGCCAAAUGAAACCUUGCCGGAAUGCCUUACCGACAAGGGCUCUUGACCCUAUGUGGGAGCCACACAUGCCUCCAUGUAUCUCUGCCAACAGCUCCAGUCCGUCCUCCUAAGGAAUGCACUUCAAUUUCACACCGUUCGGUCUCCUUCUGUAUAGGACAUCAUCCACAAACUGAUACAUGCUGGACCGACGGGCUACUUUCUCUGCCUCUUCCUAUUCCUCAGGGAGUUCCCUUAUUUGGAGGAACCAAACAGUGUGUUGUGCCCAUGCCGGAGCCUGAGGCUCGACGGCAAGGACUAAAGGCAUGUCUUCUGCCGCGGGGGCAGUUGUCUUGACGACAAGGGCUUGAGGCCCUGCCGAAGCCUGCUGCUCCCCGACAAGCUUGGAGUCCCCGGCAACUUCCUUGCUGGCGGCUCCUGGGAGCUCAGCAGGAAAGUACUUGCUGGGGCCCGCCUUCCUUCACUAAUUCUGCCCUGCUGUAGUUCAACGGACGGCUGAGUCAAUUGGAGCACAAAGGUACCUGGUUCCACAGGAAACUUGUGGGCAGCAUGUUUUGACAAGUCGUCGGCAAUGUUGUUCUCUGCUUGAGGAACAUGCUCUGCUUGCAGACCGUCAAAAUGCUCCUCCAACUUCCUCCCUUCAUCUACGUAGGUUCCCAUCAACGUGCUCUGAUAAUAUUUGUUAACUUGCUUGACGACAAGCUGCGAAUCACCUCUGAUGAUAAGCUUCCUGAUUCCAAGGUCUGCCGCGAUUCUGAGACCGGCAAGUAGUCCCUCAUACUCUGCAGUGUUGUUUGUUGAUUUUGCCCAGGGAAAGUGCAUUUGGAUUACAUACUUGAGGCGCUCCCCGGUGGGUGCAACGAGUAGCACGCCGACACCAGCACCUUGCAGCGAGAAAGCCCCAUCGAAGUACAUAAUCCAAUCACGACUCGUCUCCUUGCCGGGAAGUGUGGUCUCUUGAAUUUCUUCGUCAGGCGUUGAAGUCCAUUCUGCUAUGAAAUCUGCCAAGGCUCUGCUCUUGAUUGUCGAAGUGCUUUCAAACCUAAGACCAAAACUUGACAUUUCCAACGCCCACACCACGAUCCUCCCGGUUGCAUCUGGGUUGUGCAAGAUCCGUUGCAACAGGAGGCGAGUGACGAGAGUGAUCUUAUGUGCUUGGAAGUAGUGACGCAGCUUUCUCAAGGCCAUAAGAAGGCUGAAAAGCAGCUUCUGCAUACCACACUACCUUGAUCUAGCCCCCUCCAAGAGGGAGCUGACAAAAUAAACCGGGUGCUGCAUCACCUUCUUCUUUUGUUUCACUUUGCCUGCUUGCGCAGAUCCUAUCUCGCCGGGACCGGGCUCUGCCGAGGGUCCUGCCUUGCGGGCACCAGGCUUUGCCGGGGAAGGCCCCAGCUCAUCAUCUGAUGGCCUCACUAUUGCUGCUGCUUCUUCCCCAACUUCUCUUUGUGACACUAAGGUGGCACUGACCACUUGAUUCAUCGCCUCUAAAUAUCGCAGCAAUGGUUCUUGUGGUUUAGGCGCGACUAGUAUUGGCGUAGAGGAGAGGUACCUCUUCAAAUCUUGCAGCGCUGCCUCCGCUUCCGGAGUCUAUUUCAUUGGACUCGCCUUUUUCAAAAUUUUGAAAAAGGGCAGGGCGCGCUCAGCAGAUUUGGAGAUGAACCUACUCAGUGCAGCAACGCAGCCAGCAAGCCUACAAACAUCCUUGACGUCUUGGUGCCUCAAUCUUCUCAAUCGCUUUGAUCUUGUCGGGAUUUGCUUUGUUUCCGCGUUGAGAUACAAAGAACCCAAGAAGUUUUCCGGAUGAGACGCUGAACACACACUUCUCAGGGUUGAGUUUGAGGUUGAUCUUGCGCAAAUUUGCAAAUGUUUCCUCCAGAUCUUGCACGAGCGUGGCCUUGUCCUUGGUUUUGACCACUAUAUCAUCCAUAUAAGCUUCCAUAUUUCUAUGUAGCUGGGGCUCAAAACCAAUUUGGACCGCUCAGGCAAAUGUUGAACCAGCACUUUUCAACCCGAAAGGCAUUCAUACAAAACAGUACGUACUACAUGGGGUGAUGAACGCGGUCUUUUCUUCAUCUUCCUUCUUCAUAAAGAUUUGGUGGUAUCCUGAGUAGGCGUCGAGGAACGACGGCAGGUCACACCCGGCAGUGGAGUCCACUAUCUGGUCGAUGCGUGGCAAAGGGAAAGGAUCCCAUUUUCCUUGCGCACCACCACUGGAUUGGCGAACCACGUUGGGUGGAGCACUCCUCUGACUAAGCCUGCCGCUUCCAACUUCCUGAUCUCCUCAAUGAUGAACUCUUGCCGCUCCAAAGCUUGCUUCCUAACCUUCUGCUUGACGGGCCGCGCAUGGGGACAGACAGUAAGGUGGUGCUCAAUCACCUCCCUGGGAACACUGGGAAUGUCGGAUGCUUGCCAUGCAAACACAUCGACAUUUGCCCGCAGCAAGGUGACGAGCACGCUUUCCUAUUUGCUGUAGAGGGUGGAGCUUAUGAUAAAAGCUCCGCCCAUGCCAUCCUCCUUGAUGGGUACCUUCUUGGUUUCUGGUGGGGCUGCCUUAGAUCUCUUGCUCUUGCCGGUGGAGCUCUCUAGCACGUCCUCAACGGGAAUGCAACACUUCGAAGAGGCAUGUUUGCCGGAGUGGGUGCAGGAGUCUUUGCUGGAGCCAGGAGACUUGCUGGUAGUUGAAGUCUUGCCGGCGACCAAGGCCUUGCCGGUCUUCUUCCCAGUAGCAGGAGCAAGUGUUUUGGCAACGGAUGCUACAACUGCCUCUCGGUAGAGUUGGUCGGCACAGAUGAGCGCAUCCCUCUUGUCGCAGCUGACGGUGAUGAUGCUCAUCGGGUCGGGCAUCUUUAGCUUGUUGUACACGUAGUGUGACGCCGCCAUAAACUUGGCCAGCGCUGGACGGCCAAGGAUCCCGUUAUAUGGCAACGGGAUCUUGGCGACAUAAAAAACGAUCUUCUCUGUCCUGUAGUUCAGGUCACCACCAAACGUGACAGGUAGCGUGACCUUUCCUUUAGGCUGGCUUCUCCCUGGAUUGAUCCCUUGGAACGUACCUAUUUCUUCAAGAUCUUCAUCAAGGAUCUGCAACUUCUUGAUUACGUUGGGUGAGAUUAAGUUCAAACCAGCCCCACCAUCAUCUAGCAUUUUCAUCACCUUGAGGUUGUUAUUGUUGGUGAAACCAACAAUGGGAAACACCCGACCGCGGUUGUGCAAUCAGGGUGAUCCUCGACGUCAAAAAUGAUAGGCGUGUUGGACCAUUUCAGUGGCUUCUGGGCGUCGAUCAUCAGUUCCGUCGCAUUAAUCUCACGCGCCCACUAUUUAAGUUGGUUGUGGGAAGAAUGCAACGAGGCACCUCCAUCGACACACAUGACCUCCGUUGCUUUCUAGAACUCGUGCUCAGUGGACUCGUCAUCAUCGUGACAAUCAUCAUCUCCUUCUUCCUUGUCGCUGCCUCGAGCAGGCCUCUCUUGUUGCUUAUCUUUGCUACGGCGACCUCCUUGGUCGUGGCGCUUCUUGUCGGAUCCGUCUGCACCAUCCUGGCCCUCCUCUUUGUCUUGUCUUUCAUACUCAGUCCUCUGCUUCUCCAUCAGCUGCUCAACUUGAUGGCCGUUUUGGAGAUCAUGGCCUUUGGUGCGGUGAAUCUUGCAAUAUUGCUUGUCGGAGCCCUCUGGCUUGCCGGCAGCCGCCAAAGCUCUACAUGUGUUACACCCGGCAAUAUCCUUGCCAGGGUCGUCAACCUUGGCCUUCUUAGCGGUAGCGUGGUCGCCGGUUUCCUCAACGGCAAGCACGGUCUUUCCCUUGCGCUUCCUGCAUCGCCGACCCUUCUUUGCCGGGGCGACGAUGUCUUCAUCUUUAGAGUCACUUCCCGGGUCGGCAUCUUCGCCGGGGUACUUUCUUCCUUCUUCAGCUCGGGCACACCUUUCGGCCAAAACAUAAAGCUCGGCAACAUCCGCAACCUUGUUCAUCGCCAGUUCUUCACGCAUCUUACGAUUGUGCAUGUUCUCAUGGAACACGCUAAUGACAAUGGCGGGAUGAACAUCUGGGAUGUUGUAUUGCACCCGGCUGAUUCUCUGUAUGUAUUUGCGCAAAUAUUCACCAUCCUUCUGAUGGAUGACGUGCAAAUCACUCGCCUGGCCAGGAGCUACGUGGCCUCCAGUAAAGGCGCCAACAAACUCGUGGCACAUAUCCGACCAAGUGGAGUUGGAAUCUACUAGUAGGUGCAUCAGCCAUGACCUGAUGUUGGGCUUGAGCACCAAUGGGAAAUACUUGGCGAGCAUCUUACCAUCCUGAGCCCUGGCAGCUUUCAUCGCAAUGGUGUAAACACUCAAGAACUCGGACGGAUGAGUCUUGCCAUCAUAGCUCUCCGGGAUCUCUGUUUUGAACGUGCGGGUUGUGGGCCACUCGAACUGCCCCAACUCACGGGUGAAUGUUGGACAGGUUAUUGCGUAAGGCAAAUCACCAAAAUCCCCUGGUGCAGGCUUGUAUGCAGUGGGCCCUGCUCGCCUAUCAGACUGAUGGCGUGCUUCCUGUCGCUGCUCGAUGGUGGUUCGACCGUCCUCCUUGAGCCGUUCCUGAAGAACUUGAUGUUGGUCGCGACGGGCUUGGGGAUCGGACGACGCCGUGGAUAUGUCGUCACGGACAUCGAUCUGACGAGCCGGCGACCGCCGUUGUCGUGGCGGAGGGAGUGCAUCAUGGUUGUGGUGCCCCCGGCCCUACCACUGUCAACACGAGCCGGCUCGGUUGUCUGGCACCGCAAAGGACUUGCCUCCUUGUGGCCAUCACUGUUGGCAUGGCAAAUAAGGCUUUGGAUAGCAGCCUUCCACUCAUCUUGCUUCUAUGUAGGAGGAGGAAAAUCGAGGAGUAGCCGCGCUCGUGCCAAUGCUUCUGCUCGCGUUGGCGGCAGCGACAAGCGCGAGGAAUGGGAGGAGCUCGUACUUCUAACUAUGUUAGAAGGAGUUCCAUCACGAUUCCACGGCCAUGCACCUUUUUCACCAGCAUCUUGGCGUGCAUGUCGGCCCUGCGCAUCUUGAGAAUGAUGCCGAGGGCUCUUGCUGCAACGAUGCCCGGGGUCACCAGCGUCGCGGCGCUACUCGUCACGCAUGACCUGGGAGGGCCGUGGUGUGUGUGUUGGCGAGGUGGUCUUCCUACCCUUGGAGGUCCCCGCAGUGCCCGUAGGCAGCACAUGUCCGUCAUUCGAUGCGGCAGCAUGUGGAUCGUCGUCGCUUCUACGGACGACGCCGCUCGCCUGGCUUGUGGUAUCAGGAUGAUGCGGAUGGUCUUGAUCUCCUCCGCCACCAGUGUCUGCCCCAUCGCCUAUUCGCGCUGGCACGGGCAGACCAGCUCCAGACGAACCGAUCUCUAUGAUCGUCUUCUUCUUCGGAGCCAUGGUGAUGAAAAGACUGACGUACUAACUACUAGACCAGAUUUUCACAACUUUUAUGCCUCCUACAUGGCGCGCCAAAGAUGUCGGGGAAACGACACCCAUGGGAUCACGAGGAUCCCUUCUAUGGUUGGCGAGGAGAGAGUUGCGCAAUAAGCAGGUCUGGUGGUCACCACGAGGGGUUUUAACCCAGGUUCGGGCCGCUGAGCAGCGUAAAACCCUAGUUCUGCUCUUGGGUGUAUAUUUAGUGUUCUUGAGUUCUUAGACUAGCUGCUAUGCAUGCCUAGUACAAAAAGUCCGAAUCCUUCUCCAGUAGGCCUCGGGCCUCCUUUCAUACGUCAAAGGGGUCGCCACAGUGGCACACAGGAGGUGUAAAGUAUCUAUAGUGUAAAAGCUUAUCGCUGACAUCGUAGGACAAAUGCAUUUAAUGCACUACUUACAUGCCCUCCAACUUUAUCGGGGAUGGUAAAAGAAAUCAUACCAUUCAUCGCCGCCUCUCCUUCCCUUGACACGCGUCCAGGCUGACGAGUCGUGCAACACUAGGCUGGCUGGCUAGCCGCUGUGCUGGUGCGGUGGUAGAGUGUCCACAAAGAUCUGCAUGCUGCCACGUAGGCAUCUGUCUAGUUGGCAAGAUGGUUGUUGCGCUGGAACGGGCGUGAGGUGGCGAAAACCUUGUCGAGUGCAGGCCUGGCUGUGGCCCUGCAAUUGUCCCCGGCAAGUGUCUGUUGGGGAACGUAGCAGAAAUUCAAAAUUUUCCUACGAAUCACCAAGAUCUAUCUAUGGAGAAACUAGCAACGAGAGAGAGGGGAGUGCAUCUACAUACCCUUGUAGAUCGCUAAGCGGAAGCGUUCAAGAGAACGGGGUUGAAGGAGUCGUACUCGUCGUGAUCCAAAUCACCGGAGAUCCUAGUGCCGAACGGACGGCACCUCCGUGUUCAACACACGUACAGCCCGGUGACGUCUCCCAUGCCUUGAUACAGCAAGGAGAGAGGGAGAGGUUGAGGAAGACUCCAUCCAGCAGCAGCACAACGGCGUGGUGGUGGUGGAGGAGCGUGGCAAUCCUGCAGGGCUUCGCCAAGCACCUGCGGGAGAGGAGGAGGUGUCACGGGAGGGAGGGAGGCGCCAGGGCUUCAGGUGCGGCUGCCCUCCCUCCCCUGCACUAUAUAUAGGGGCAAGGGAGAGGGGGAGGGCGCAGCCUUGCCCCUUCCUCCAAGGAAGGGGUGCGGCCAAAGGGGGGAGGAGUCCAUCCUCCCCACGGCACCUCGGAGGUGCCUUCCCCUCUUAGGACUCUCCCCUCCCCAAGUCUCCUUGGCGCAUGGGCCUCUUGGGGCUGGUGCCCUUGGCCCAUAUAGGCCAAGGCGCACCCCCUACAGCCCAUGUGGCCCCCCGGGGCAGGUGGACCCCCCGGUGGACCCCCGGACCCCUUUCGGCACUCCCGGUACAAUACCGAUAAAGUGUGAAACUUUUCCGGCGACCAAAAUAAGACUUCCCAUAUAUAAAUCUUUACCUUCGGACCAUUCCGGAACUCCUCAUGACGUCCGGGAUCUCAUCCGGGACUCCGAACAACAUUUGGUAACCACAUACAAACUUCCUUUAUAACCCUAGCGUCAUCGAACCUUAAGUGUGUAGACCCUACGGGUUCGGGAACCAUGCAGACAUGACCGAGACGUUCUCCGGUCAAUAACCAACAGCGGGAUCUGGAUACCCAUGUUGGCUCCCACAUGUUUAGAUGAACCACGAUGUCAAGGACUCAAUCGAUCCCGUAUACAAUUCCCUUUGUCUAGCGGUAUUGUACUUGCCCGACAUUCGAUCGUCGGUAUCCCGAUACCUUGUUCAAUCUCGUUACCGGCAAGUCUCUUUACUCGUUCCGUAACACAUCAUCCCGUGAUCAACCCCUUGGUCACAUUGUGCACAUUAUGAUGAUGUCCUACCGAGUGGGCCCAGAGAUACCUCUCCAUUUACACGGAGUGACAAAUCCCAGUCUCGAUUCGUGCCAACCCAACAAACACUUUCGGAGAUACCUGUAGUGCACCUUUAUAGCCACCCAGUUACGUUGUGACGUUUGGUACACCCAAAGCAUUCCUACGGUAUCCGAGAGUUGCACAAUCUCAUGGUCUAAGGAAAUGAUACUUGACAUUAGAAAAGCUUUAGCAUACGAACUACAUGAUCCUUGUGCUAGGCUUAGGAUUGGGUCUUGUCCAUCACAUCAUUCUCCUAAUGAUGUGAUCCCGUUAUCAAUGGCAUCCAAUGUCCAUGGUCAGGAAACCGUAACCAUCUAUUGAUCAACGAGCUAGUCAAUCAGAGGCUUACUAGGGACAUGGUGUUGUCUAUGUAUCCACACAUGUAUCUGAGUUUCCUAUCAAUACAAUUAUAGCAUGGAUAAUAAACGAUUAUCAUGAACAAGGAAAUAUAAUAAUAACUAAUUUAUUAUUGCCUCUAGGGCAUAUUUCCAAUAGUCUCCCACUUGCACUAGAGUCAAUAAUCUAGUUCACAUCGCCAUGUGAUUAACACUCACAGGUCACAUCGCCAUGUGACCAACAUCCAAAGAGUUUACUAGUGUCAUUAAACUAGUUCACAUCAUCAUGUGAUUAAGACUCAAUGAGUUCUGGGGUUUGAUCAUGUUUUGCUUGUGAGAGAGGUUUUAGUCAACGGGUCUUCAACAAUCAGAUCUGUAUGUAUUUCGCAAUUCUCUAUGUCAUAUUGUAAAUGCUGCUUCCACGCUCCACUUGAAGCUAUUCCAAAUGGUUGCUCCACUAUACGUAUCCAGUUUGCUACUCAGAGCCAUUCGGAUAGGUGUUAAAGCUUGCAUCGUCGUAUCCCUUUACGCCGAACUCUUUAUCACCUCCAUAAUUGAGAAAUAAAUCCUUAUUACUCCAAGGACAAUUUUGACCGCUAUCUGGUGAUCCACUCCUUGAUCACCUUUGUACCCUCUUGCCAGACAUGUGGCAAGGCACACAUCAGGUGCGGUACAUAGCAUAGCAUACUAUAGAGCCUAUGUCUGAAGCAUAGGGGACGUCCUUUGUCCUUUCUCUCUUUUCUGCCGUGGUCGAGCUUUAACUCUUAACUUCAUACCUUACAACUCAGGCAAGAACUCCUUCUUUGACUGAUCCAUCUUGAACUCCUUCAAGAUCACGUCAAGGUAUGUGCUCAUUUGAAAGUACCAUUAAGCGUUUUGAUCCAUCCUCAUAGAUCUUGAUGCUCAAUGUUCAAGUAGCUUAAUCCAGGUUUUCACUUGAAAAACACUUUUCAAAUAACCCUAUAUGCAUUCCAGAAAUUCUACAUCAUUUCUGAUCAAUAAUAUGUCAAUAACAUAUACUCAUCAGAAAUUCUAUAGUGCUCCCACUCACUUCUUUGGAAAUACAAGUUUCUCAUAAACUUUGUAUAAACCCAAAAUCUUUGAUCAUCUUAUCAAAGUGUACAUUCCAACUCCGAGAUGCGUACUCCAGUCCAUGGAAGGAUCGCUGGAGCUAGCAUACCCUUUAGCAUCCUUAGGAUCGACAAAACCUUUCUAAUUGUAUCACAUACAACCUUUCCUUACGAAAACUGGUAAGGAAACUCGUUUUGACAUCCAUCUGCCCGAUUUCAUAAAUGCAGCUAAUGCUAACAUGAUUCCGAUGGACUUAAGCAUCGCUACGGAUGAGAAAAUCUCAUCGUAGUCAACUCCUUGAACUUGUGACAAUCUCUUCGCCACAAGUCGAGCUUCAUAGACGGUGACAUUACCGUCCACGUCCGUCUUCUUCUUAAAGAUCCAUUUAUCUCAAUGGCUUGCCGAUCAUCGGGCAAGUCCACCAAAGUCCAUGCUUUGUUUUGAUACAUGGAUCCUAUCUCGGAUUUCAUGGCUUCUAACCAUUUAUCGGAAUUUGGGCCCGCCAUCGCUUCUCCAUAGCUCGUAGGUUCAUUGUUGUCUAGCAACAUGACCUUCAAGACAGGAUUACUGUACCACUCUGAAGCAGUACGCAUCCUUGUCACCCUACGAGGUAUGGUAGUGACUUGAUCCGAAGUUUCAUGAUCACUAUCAUAAGCUUCCACUUCAAUUGGUGUAGGUGCCACAGGAACAACUUCCUGUGCCCUGCUACACACUAGUUGUAGUGACGGUUCAAUAACCAUAUCAAGUCUCCACCAUCCUCCCACUCAACUUUUCGAGACAAACUUUUCCUCGAGAAAGGACCCGAUUCAAGAAACAAUCCCUAUUGCUUUCGGAUCUGAAUUAGGAGGUAUACCCAACUGUUUUGGGUGUCCUAUGAAGAUACAUUUUAUCCGCUUUGGGUUUGAGCUUAUCAACCUGAAACUUUUUCACAUAAGCGUUGCAGCCCCAAACCUUUAAGAAAUGACAGCUUAGGUUUCUCUGAACCAUAGUUCAUACGGUGUCAUCUCAAUGGAAUUACGUGGUGCCCUAUUUAAAGUGAGUGCGGUUGUCUCUAAUGCCUAACCCAUGAACGAUAGUGGUAAUUCGAUAAGAGACAUCAUGCUACGCACCAUAUCCAAUAGGGUGCAACUAUGAUGUUCGGACACACCAUCACACUAUGGUGUUCCAGGCGGUAUUAAUUGUGAAACAAUUUCCACAAUGUCUUAAUUGCGUGCCAAAGCUCGUAACUCAGAUACUCAUCUCUGUGAUCAUAUCAUAGACAUUUUAUCCUCUUGUCACAAUGAUCUUCAACUUCACUCUGAAAUUACUUGAACCAUUCAGUAAUUCAGACUUGUGUUUCAUCAAGUAAAUAUACUCAACAUCUACUCGAAUCAUCUGUGAAGUAAGAACAUAACGAUAUUCACUGCAUGCCUCAGCACUCAUUGGACUGCACACAUCACAAUGUGUUACUUCCAACAAGUUGCUAUCUUGUUCCAUCUCACUGAAACGAGGCUUUUCAGUCAUCUUGCCCAUGUGGUAUGAUUUGCAUAUCUCAAGUGAUUCAAAAUCAAGUGAGUCUAAAUGAUCCAUUUGCAUGGAGUUUCUUCAUGCGUAUACACCAAUAGACAUGGUUCGCAUGUCUCAAACUUUUCAAAAACGAGUGAGUCCAAAGAUCCAUCAACAUGGAGCUUCAUCAUGCGUUUUACACCAAUAUGACUUACAUGGCAGUGCCACAAGUAAGUGGUACUAUCAUUACUAUCUUAUAUCCUUUUUGGCAUGAAAAUGUGUAUCACUCCGAUCGAGAUUCAAUAAACCAUUCCUUUUAGGUGCUAGACCAUUGAAGGUAUUAUUCAAAUAAACAGAGUAACCAUUAUUCUCCUUAAAUGAAUAACCGUAUUGCGACAAACAUAAUUCAAUCAUGUCUAUGCUCAACGCAAACACCAAAUAACAAUUAUUUAGGUUUAACACCAAUCUCGAUGGUAGAGGGAGCGAGCGAUGCUUGAUCACAUCAACCUUGGAAACACUUCCAACACAUAUCGUCAGCUCACCUUUAGCUAGUCUCCGUUUAUUCCGUAGCUUUUAUUUCGAGUUACUAACACUUAGCAACCGAACCGGUAUCUAAUACCCUGGUGCUACUAGGAGUACUAGUAAAGUACACAUUAACAUAAUGUAUAUCCAAUAUACUUCUAUCGACCUUGCCAGCCAUCUUAUCUACCAAGUAUCUAGGGUAAUUCUGCUCCAGUGGCUGUUCCCCUUAUUACAGAAGCACUUAGUCUCGGGUUUUGGGUUCAACAUUGGGUUUCUUCACUGGAGCAGCAGCUGAUUUGCCGUUUCAUGAAGUAUCCCUUCUUGCCCUUGCCCUUCUUGAAACUAGUGGUUUCACCAACCAUCAACAAUUGAUGCUCCUUCUUGAUUUCUACUUUCGCGGUGUAAAACAUCGCGAAUACCUCAAGGAUCAUCAUAUGUAUCCCUGAUAUGUUAUAGUUCAUCACGAAGCUCUAGCAGCUUGGUGGCAAUGACUUUGGAGAAACAUCACUAUCUCAUCUGGAAGAUCAACUCCCACUCGAUUCAAGUGAUUGUUGCACUCAGACAAUCUGAGCACAAGCUCAUCGAUUGAGCUUUCUCCCUUAGUUUGCAGGCUAAGAAAAUUGUCGGAGGUCUCAUACCUCUUGACAUGGGCACGAGCCUGAAAUCCCAAUUUCAGACCUCGAAACAUCUCAUAUGUUCCGCGACGUUUCGAAAAUGUCUUUGGUGCCUCUACUCUAAACCAUUUAACUGAACUAUCACGUAGUUAUCAAAACGUGUAUGUCCGAUGUUCGCAACAUCCACAGACGACCUUUGGGGUUCAGCACACUAAGCGGUGCAUUAAGGACAUUAGCUUUCUACUGUCCGCAUAAUUGCUACUGUCAACUUUCAACUAUAUUUUCUCUAGGAACAUAUCUAAACAGUGGAACUAAAGCGCGAGCUUACGACAUAAUUUGCAAAGAUCUUUUGACUAUGUUCAGGAUAAUUAAGUUCAUCUAAUGAACUCCCACUCAGAUAGACAUCCCUCUAGUCAUCUAAGUGAUUACAUGAUCCGAGUCAACUAGGCCGUGUCCGAUCAUCACGUGAGACAGACUAGUCAUCAUCGGUGAACAUCUUCAUGUUGAUCGUAUCUACUAUACGACUCAUGCUCGACCUUUCGGUCUCUUGUGUUCCGAGGCCAUGUCUGUACAUGCUAGGCUCGUCAAGUCAACCUAAGUGUUUCGCGUGUGUAAAUCUGUCUUACACCCGUUGUAUGUGAACGUAAGAAUCCAUCACACCCGAUCAUCACGUGGUGCUUAGAAACGACGAACUUUCGCAACGGUGCACAGUUAGGGGGAACACUUUCUUGAAAUUUUAAUGAGGGAUCAUCUUAUUUACUACCAUCAUUCUAAGCAAAUAAGAUGUAUAAACAUGAUAAACAUCACAUGCAAUCAAAAAGUGACAUGAUAUGGCCAAUAUCAUUUUGCUCCUUUUGAUCUCCAUCUUCGGGGCUCCAUGAUCAUCAUCGUCACCGGCAUGACACCAUGAUCUCCAUCAUCAUGAUCUCCAUCAUCGUGUCUCCAUGAAGUUAUCUCGCCAACUUAUUACUUCUACUACUAUGGCUACCGGUUAGCAAUAAAGUAAAGUAAUUACAUGGCGUUGUUCAAUGACACGCAGGUCAUACAAUAAAUAAAGACAACUCCUAUGGCUCCUGCCGGUUGUCAUACUCAUCGACAUGCAAGUCGUGAUUCCUAUUACAAGAACAUGAUCAAUCUCAUACAUCACAUAUAUUCAUCGCAUUCUUCUUGGCCAUAUCACAUCACAUAGCAUACCCUGCAAAAACAAGUUAGACGUCCUCUAAUUGUUGUUUGCAUGUUUUACGUGGCUGCUAUGGGUUUCUAGCAAGAACGUUUCUUACCUACGCAAAAACCACAACGUGAUAUGUCGAUUGCUAUUUACCCUUCAUAAGGACCCUUUUCAUCGAAUCUGUUCCGACUAAAGUGGGAGAGACUGGCACCCGCUAGCCACCUUAUGCACCAAGUGCAUGUCAGUCGGUGGAACCUGUCUCACGUAAGUGUACGUGUAAGGUCGGUCCGGGCUGCUUCAUCCCACAAUACCGUCGAAACAAGAUUGGACUAGUAACGGUAAGCAUAUUGAACAAGAUCAACGCCCACAACUACUUUGUGUUCUACUCGUGCAAAGAAUCUACGCAAUAGACCUAGCUCAUGAUGCCACUGUUGGGGAACGUAGCAGAAAUUCAAAAUUUUCCUACGAAUCACCAAGAUCUAUCUAUGGAGAAACUAGCAACGAGAGAGAGGGGAGUGCAUCUACAUACCCUUGUAGAUCGCUAAGCGGAAGCGUUCAAGAGAACAGGGUUGAAGGAGUUGUACUCGUCGUGAUCCAAAUCACCGGAGAUCCUAGUGCCGAACGGACGGCACCUCCGCGUUCAACACACGUACAGCCCGGUGACGUCUCCCAUGCCUUGAUCCAGCAAGGAGAGAGGGAGAGGUUGAGGAAGACUCCAUCCAGCAGCAGCACAACGGCGUGGUGGUGGUGGAGGAGCGUGGCAAUCCUGCAGGGCUUCGCCAAGCACCUGCAGGAGAGGAGGAGGUGUCACGGGAGGGAGGGAGGCGCCAGGGCUUCAGGUGCAGCUGCCCUCCCUCCCCUCCACUAUAUAUAGGGGCAAGGGAGAGGAGGAGGGCGCAGCCUUGCCCCUUCCUCCAAGGAAGGGGUGCGGCCAAAGGGGGGAGGAGUCCAUCCUCCCCAAGGCACCUCGGAGGUGCCUUCCCCUUUUAGGACUCUCCCCUCCCCAAGUCUCCUUGGCGCAUGGGCCUCUUGGGGCUGGUGCCCUUGGCCCAUAUAGGCCAAGGCGCACCCCCUACAGCCCAUGUGCCCCCCCCCCCGGGGCAGGUGGACCCCCCCGGUGGACCCCCGGACCCCUUUCGGCACUCCCGGUACAAUACCGAUAAAGUGCGAAACUUUUCCGGCGACCAAAAUAAGACUUCCCAUAUAUAAAUCUUUACCUCCGGACCAUUCCGGAACUCCUUGUGACGUCCGAGAUCUCAUCCGGGACUCCGAACAACAUUCGGUAACCACAUACAAACUUCCUUUAUAACCCUAGCGUCAUCGAACCUUAAGUGUGUAGACCCUACGGGUUUGGGAACCAUGCAGACAUGACCGAGACGUUCUCCGGUCAAUAACCAACAGCGGGAUCUGGAUACCCAUGUUGGCUCCCACAUGUUCCAUGAUGAUCUCAUCGGAUGAACCACAAUGUCAAGGACUCAAUCGAUCCCGUAUACAAUCCCCUUUGUCUAGCGGUAUUGUACUUGCUCGAGAUUCGAUCGUCGGUAUCCCAAUACCUUGUUCAAUCUCGUUACCGGCAAGUCUCUUUACUCGUUCCGUAACACAUCAUCCCGUGAUCAACCCCUUGGUCACAUUGUGCACAUUAUGAUGAUGUCCUACCGAGUGGGCCCAGAGAUACCUCUCCGUUUACACAGAGUGACAAAUCCCAGUCUCGAUUCGUGCCAACCCAACAGACACUUUCGGAGAUACCUGUAGUGCACCUUUAUAGCCACCCAGUUACGUUGUGACGUUUGGUACACCCAAAGCAUUCCUACGGUAUCCGGGAGUUGCACAAUCUCAUGGUCUAAGGAAAUGAUACUUGACAUUAGAAAAGCUUUAGCAUACGAACUACACGAUCCUUGUGCUAGGCUUAGGAUUGGGUCUUGUCCAUCACAUCAUUCUCCUAAUGAUGUGAUCCCGUUAUCAAUGACAUCCAAUGUCCAUGGUCAGGAAACCGUAACCAUCUAUUGAUCAACGAGCUAGUCAAUCAGAGGCUUACUAGGGACAUGGUGUUGUCUAUGUAUCCACACAUGUAUCUGAGUUUCCUAUCAAUACAAUUAUAGCAUGGAUAAUAAAUGAUUAUCAUGAACAAGGAAAUAUAAUAAUAACUAAUUUAUUAUUGCCUCUAGGGCAUAUUUCCAACAAAGUCUUCCCGGGGGCCUCGCAGUCGUCCCUGGCAAGGCCCUUGCCAGGGGUCUUCGUUCUCUGGUCCCCACGUAGACCUACAGGCCAUUAGUCUUCACAAAGUUUUGCAUGCUACUAUGCACGCGUCCCCAAGCCUUGGCCUUGACGUUCUUGAUGAUGUCAGAGCUCUCAACCUCAAGGGUGAUGGCCGUUCUGGUGCUUCAUGGGAUGCCCCGGCAAGGAGCUUGCCGGGGCCACGCAAGCCGCCCCGGCAAGGAUGUUGCUGGGGAGGUCCAGCUUGUCUUCUGCUCUCUGUUCACUGUCUUGAAUGUUGUCUUGGUCGUCUUGUAUCUCUCCUUCCACUGCCCCGCCAAGCCUUCCCGCAGGGUUCGCUACAACUGCCCGUGCAAAAGUAAGGGGUACGGGAAAGGCCCAUACUUUUGUACACCGACACAUCUCGGCGGCGUGGCUCGGCCUUAACAUUGAGAAAAUUGGUUUUGAAAUUCCUGUAAAUCCAAUACUCACCUGAAUAUCAUAAAACUUGGCAUGAUGUUAUGACUUGGCACAAACAAGUUGUGGUAAAAAAAAUUGUCUGAUUUGGGACAAGUUUUGGUAUAAACUUCCCACAAACUGGAGUUUCUCUCAAAAAGCCUCACGGUUCCGAGAUGGAACGUGUCACCACAUUGUGUGAAACAACAUAUGUUGCCUCUUCCCACCUUGAUUUAUUUUAUGGAGGCAGCAUGCAACCGUAGGAGUCAUGAAAUUUUGGAAUUAUUCAGGGUUCGUUUCAACUUUUUAUAUAUUAUUUGAGUUUCUAGGCAUUUAGUAUGCAUAAUUCAAAUUUGAACUACAGGCACACUCCCUAGUGCACCGAACUGGGUUGAAAAAUUAUAUACGUGUCCUUAGGUGAAUGUUUAGGUCCUAUGCAAGAAUUGGUAAUGACUUUCAAACAUCUGGGCGUUGUGGCUCGGCCUAAAACAUUGAGAAACUUCUUCUUCAAAUUCUUGUAAAUCUAAAAUCUCCUAAAAAUCAUGAUACUUAGCAUUGUGUUAUGACACGACACCGACAUGCUAUGGUUAAAAAUUUGUACGAUUUGAGACAAGUUUUGGUCUAAACUUCUCGCAAACCGGAGCUUCUCCCAAAAAGCCUCAUGGUUCCGGGAGGGAACGAAUCACAUCUGUGCGCAAAACGACAUAUGCUUCCUCUUGUAGCCUUGAUUUGUUUUACAGAGUCAACAUCCAACCAUAUGAGUGCCAUGUUAAAAUUUGGAAUUAUUUGGGGUUCGUUUGGCCUUUUUAUUCAUUGAGUUUUUAGCCAUUUAAUGUGCAUACUUCAAAUUUAAACUACAAGCACAUGCUCAGUGCACCAAACCUGGUUGAAAAAUCAUAUGUGUGUCCUCGGUUGUAUGUUUAGGUCCCAUGCAAGAAAUGGGUAUGAAUUUCAUACAUCUGGGCAUCAUCGCUCGGCCUUAAACAUUGUGAAACUUGGUUUUAAAAUUCAUGUAAAUCCAAAAUUCGCCUGAAAAUCAUGAAACAUGGCAUGGAGUUAUGACAUGGCACCAACAUGUCAUGGUAAAAAAAAUGUCCGAUUUCGGACAAGUUUUGGUAAAAAAAAUUCUCACAAACUGGAUCUUGUCCAAAAAAGCCUCACCGAGAGGGAACGUGUCACCUAUGUGUGUGAAACGUCAUACGUUGCCUCUUCCCGCCUUCAUUUAUUUUACAGAGGCAACAUGCAACCGUAGUAUUGUCGUGUUGAAAAUUGGAAUUAUUCAGGGUUCGUUUGGCCUUUUUAUACACUAUUUUAGCUUCUUGGCAUUUAAUGUGCAUAAUUCAAAUUUGAACUACAUGCACAUGCCCUAUUGCACCAAACCAGAUUGAAAAAUCAUAUAAGUGUCCGUGGGUGAAUCUUUAGGUCCCAUGCAAGAAAUGGGAAUGAAUUUGAAACAUCUAGGUGUCAUGGCUUGGCCUUAAGCAUUGAGAAUAUUGGUUUUAAAAUUCCUGUAUUUCCAAAACUUGCCUGAAAAUCAUGACAUGGUGUUAUGACAUGGCACCAACAUGUUGUGGCAAAAAAAUUGUCCGAUUAGGACAAGUUUUGGUAUAAACUUCUCACUAACCGGAGCUUCUCUCAAAAAGCCUCAAGGUUUCGAGAGGGAACGUGUCAACUCUGUGUGCGAGACGACAUACGAUGCCUCUUCCGCCUUGAUUUUACAGAGGCAAGAUGCAACUAUAGGAGUGUCGUGUUAAAAUUUGGAAUUAUUCAGGGUUGAUUUAGCUUUUUAUACAUUAUUUGAGUUUCUAGGCAUUUAAUGUGCAUAAUUUGAAUUAGAAUUACAUGCACAUGCCCUAUGCACGAAACUAGGUUGAAAAAUCAUAUACAUGUCAUUGGGUGAAUGUUUAGAUUCCAUGCAAGAAAUGAGAAUGAAUUUCAAACAUCUUGGCGUCAUGGCUCGGCCUUAAACAUUGAGAAACUUGGUUUUAUAAUUGUUGGAAAUCCAAAACUCGCCUGAAAAUAAUGAAACUUGACAUGGUGUUAUGACCUGGCACCUACAUGUUGUGGUAAAAAAUGGUUCUAUUUGAGACAAGUAUUGGUAUAAACUUCUCACAGACUGGAGCUUCUCUCAAAAAGCCUCAUGGUUCUGAGAGAGAACGUGUCACCUCUGUAUGCGAAACAGUAUACGCUACCUCUUGCCGCCUUGAUUUAUUUUAAAGAGGCAACAUGCAACCAUGCCAAGUUUUAUGAUUUUCAGGGUUCGUUUGGCCUUUUUAUUCUUUAUUUUAGUCUCUUGCCAUUUAAUGUGCAUAUUUAAAAUUUGAACUACAGGCACAUGCCCAGUGCACCAAGCCGGGUUGGAAAAUCAUAUGUGUGUCCUUGGUUGUAUGUUUAGGUCCCAUUCAACAAAUGGGAAUGACUUUCAAACAUCUGGGCUUCGUGGCUCGGCCUUACACAUCGAGAAAUUUCAUUUUAACAUUCCUGUAAAUCCCAAACUCGCCUAAAAAUCAUAAAACUUAGCAUGGUUCUAUGACAGGCACCAACAUGUUGUGGUAACAAAAUUCUACGAGUUGAGACAAGUUUUAUAAUUCUUGUAAAUCCAAAACUCGCAUGAAAAUCAUGAAUGGCAUGAUGUUAUGACAUGGCACAAACAUGCUGUGAUAAAAGAUUUGUCCCGUUUGAGACAAGUUUUGGUAUAAACUUCUCAUAAACCCGAGCUUCUCUCAAAAACCCUCUUGCUUCCGAGAGGGAACGUGUCAAGUCUGUGUGCAAAACGACAUAAGUUACCUCUUCUAGCCUUGAUUUAUUUUACAGAGGCAACAUGCAACCGUAGGAUUGUCGUGUUAAAAUUUAGAAUUAUUCAGGGUUCAUUUGGCCUUUUAAUACACUAUUUGAGUUUCUAGGCAUUUAAUGUGCAUAAUUAAAUUAAAACUACAUGCACAUGCCCCAGUGCACCAAACCGGAUCGAAAUAUCAUAUAUGUGUACUUGGGUGAAUGUUUAGGUCACAUGCAAGAAACAUGAAUGAAUCUCAAACAUCUGGGUGUCUUGGCUUGGCCUUAAACAUUGAGAAAGUUGGUUUAAAAUUUCCUCUAUAUCCAAAGCUCGCCCGAAAAUCAUCAAACUUGGCAUGGUGUUAUGACAUGGCACCAACAUGCUGUGGUAAAAAAUUUACCCGAUUUGGGACAAGUUUUGGUAUAAACUUCUCACAAACCACAACUUCUCUCAAAAAGCCUCGUGGUUCCGAGAGGGAACUUGUCACCUCUGUCUGUUAAAAGACAUACGCUACCUCUUCAUGCCUUGGUUUAUUUUACAGAGGAAACACACUACCAAAGGAGUUUCAUGUUAAAUUUUUGAAUAUUCAGGGGUCGUUCGGCCUUUUUAUACAUUAUUUGAGUUUCUAGGCAUUUAAUGUAUAUAAUUCUAAUUUCAACUACACGCACAUGCCCUAGUGCAUCAAACUGGGUUGAAAAAUCAUAUACGCAUCCUUGGGUGUAUGUUUAGGUCCCAUACAAGAAAUGGGAAGGAAUACCUAACAUCUAGGCGUCGUGGCUCGGCUCAAACAUUGAGAAAGUUGGUUUUGAAAUUCCUGUAAAUCCAAAACUAGCCUAAAAAUCAUGAAACUUGGCAUGGUGUUAUGACAUAGCACCAACAUGUUGUGGUAAAAAAAUCCAGUUUGGGACAAGUUUUGGUAUAAACUUCUCACAAUCUAGAGUUUCACUCAGAAAGCCUCAUGGUUCCAAGAGGGAACGUGUCACCUGUGUGUGCGAAAUGACAUUCGCCCUCUUCCCGCCUUGAUUUAGUUUAUAGAGGCAACAUGGAACUAUAGGAGUGUUGUGCUAAAAUUUGGUAUUAUUCAGGGUUCGUUUGGCGUUUUUAUACAUUAUUUGAUUUUCUAGGCAUUUGAUGUGCAUAAUUCGAAUUACAACUACAGACUCAUUGGCCAGUGCACCAAACUGGGUUGAAAAAUAAUAUACGUGUCCUUGGGUGAAUGUUUAGGUCCCAUGAAAGAAAUGGGAAAUAAUUUCAAACAUGUGGGCAUCAUGGCUUGGCCUUAAACAUUGAGAAACUUUGUUUUAAAAUUUCUAUAAAUCCAAAACUCGCCUGAAAAUCAUGAAACUUGGCAUCGUGUUAUAGCAUUGCACCAACAUGCUGUGGUAAGAAAAUUGGCCGAUUUAGGACAAGUUUUCAUAUAAACUUCUCACAAACUGGAGCUUUUACCAAAAAGCCUCAUGGGUUUGAGAGGGAACGUGUCUCCUCUGUGUGCUAAACGACAUACUCUGCCUCUUCCUACCUUUAUUUAUUCAACAGAGGUGGCAUGCAACUAUAGGAGUGUUGUGUUAAAACUUGGAAUUAUUCAGGGUUCAAUUGGCCAUUUUAUACAUUAUUAGAGUUUAUAGGCAUUUAAUGUGCAUAUUUCAAAUUUGAACUACAGGCACAUGCACCAGUGUACCAAACCAGGUUGAAAAUCAUAUAUGUGUCCUUGGGUGAAUGUUUAGAUCCCAGGCAAGAAAUGGGAAUAAAUUUCAAACAUUUGAGUGUCGUGGCUCGGCCUUAAUCAUUGAGAAACUUGGUUUAAAAAUUCCUGUGAAUCCAAAGCUCGCCUGAAAAUCAUAAAACUUGGCAGUGUUAUGACAUGACACCAACAUGUUGUGGUAAAAAAAUUAUCUGAGUUGAGACAAGUUUUUUUCUAAACUUGUCACAAACUAGAGCUUUUCUAAAAAGCCUAAUGCUUCUGAGAGGGAACGUGUCACCUCUGUGUGGGAAAGGACAUACACUGCCUCUUCCCACGUUUAUUUAUUUUUACAGAGGAAACUUGCAAUGUAGGAUUGUCAUGUUAAAAAUUGCAAUUAUUCAGGGUUCAUUCGACCUUUUAUACAUUAUUUGAGUUUCUAGGCAUUUAAUAUUGUAAUUCAAAUUUGAACUAUAGGCACAUGCCCCAGUGCACCAAACUGGAUUAAAAAAUCAUAUACGUGUGCUUGGGUGAAUGUUUAGGUCCCAUGCAACAAAUGGGAAUGAAUUUCAAACAUCUGGGCGUCAUGGCUCAGCCUUAAACAUUGAGAAACUUGGUUUUAAAAUUCCUAUAAAUCCAAAGUUCGCCUGAAAAUUAUGAAACUUUGCAUGUUGUUAUGACAUGGCACCAACAUGAUGUGGUAAAAAAAUUGUCCAGUUUGGGACAAGUUUUGGUAUAAACUUCUCACAAACCGGAGUUUCUCUCAAAAAGCCUCAUGGUUCUGAAAGGGAACAUGUCACCUCUAUGUGCGAAACAACAUACACUACCUCUUCACGCCUUGAUUUACUUAACAGAGGCAACAUACAACCAUAGGUGUGUGAUGUUAAAAUUUGGAAUUAUACAGGGGUCGUCCGACCUUUUUACACAUUAUUUGAGUUUCUAGGCAUUUAAUGUUCAUAAUUCAAAUUUGAACUACACGCGCAUGUCCUAGUGCACCAAACCGGGUUGAAAAAUCAUAUAUGUGUCCUUGUAUGAAUGUUUACAUCUCAUGCAAGAAAUGGGAAUGAAUUUCAAACAUUUGGGCGUCGUGGCUCGGCCUUAAACACUAAGAAACUUGGUUUCUAGUUCCUGUAAAUCCAAAACCCUCCUAAAAAUCAUGAAAUUUGGCAUGGUGUUAUGACAUGGCACAAUAAUGAGGUGGUAAAAAAUUUAUAUGAUUUGAGACAAGUUUUGGUAUAAACUUCUCACUAACCGGAGCUUCCCUCAAAAAGCCUCAUGGUUCCGAGAGGGAACAUGACACCUCUGAGUGUGAAACGACAUGCGUUGCUUGUUACCACCUUUAUUUAUUUUACAUAGGCAACAUGCAACCAAAUGAGUGUCACCUUAAAAUUUUGAAUUAUCGAAGGUUUGUUUGGCCUUUUUAUUCAUUAUUUGAGUUUCUAGUCAUUUAACGUGCAUAAUUCAAAUUUGAACUAUAGGCACAUGCCCUGUACACCAAACCAAAAAUCAUAUACGUGUACUUGGGUGUAUGUUUAGGUCCCAUGCAAGAAUUGGAAACGAAUUUCAAACAUCUGAGCAUCGUGGCAAGGCAUUAAACAUCAAGAAACUUGGUUUUAAAAUUCUGUGAAUCCAAAACUCACCGGAAAAACAUAAACUUGGCAUGUUGUUAUGACAUAUGGCACCAACAUGCUCUGGUAAAAAAGUUGCCCGAGUUGAGACAUGUUUUAUAUAAAAUUCUCACAAACCAGAGCUUCUCUCAAAAUGCCUAAUGGUUCUGAGAGGGAUUGUGUCACCUCUGUGUGCGAAACAACAUACGGUGCCUCUUACGACCUUGAUUUAUUUUGCAGAGGCAACAUGCAACCGUAGGACUGUCGUGUUAAAUUUUAGAAUUAUGCAGGGUUCGUUUGGCCUUUUCAUACAUCAUUUAGUUUCUAGGCUUUUAAUGUCUAUAAUUCUAUUUUCAAGCAAUGCACAUCCCAAGUGCACCAAACCGGGUUGAAAAAUUCAUAUGCGUGUCCUUGGGUGAAUCUUUAGGUCCCAUGCAAGAAAUGGGGAUGAAUUUCAAACAUCUCAGCGUCAUAGCUCGGUCUUAAAGAUUGAGAAAGUUGGUUUUAAAAUUGUUGGCAAUCGCAAACUUGCCUGAAAAUCAUGAAACCUGACAUGGUGUUAUGACAUGGCACCAACAUGUUGUGGUGAAAAAAUUAUCCGAUUUGGGACAAGUUUUGGUAUAAACAUCUCAUGAACCGGAGCUUCUCCCAAAAAGCCUUAUACUUCCGAGAGGGAACGUGUCACCUCUGUGUGCGAAAGGACAUAUGCCACCUCUUCAUGCCUUGAUUUAUUUUACAGAGGCAACAUACAACCACAUGAGUGUCAUGUUAAAAUUUGCAAAAAUUCAGGUGUCGUUCGGCCUUUUUAAACAUUAUUUGAGUUUCUAGGCAUUUAAUAUGCAUAAUUCCAAUUAGAACUACACGCACAUGCCCUAGGGCACCAAAACGGGUUGAAGAAUCAUAUAUGUGUCCUUGGGUAUAUGUUUAAGUCCCAUGCAAGAAAUCUGAAUGAAUUUCUAAUAUGUGGGCAUCGUGGCUCGGCCUUAAACAUUGAGAAACUUGAUUUUGAAAUUCCUGUAAAUCCAAAACAUGCCGAAAAUUCAUUAAACUUGGCAUGGUGUUAUGACAUGGCACCAACAUGUUGUGGUAAAAAAAUAGUUUGAUUUGGGAGAAGUUUUCAUACAAACUUCUCAGAAACUAGAGUUUCUCUCAAAAAGUCGCAUGGUUCCAAGAAGGAAAUCGUCACCGUUGUGUGCAAAACGGCAUAUACUACUUCUUCCCACCUUGAUUUAUUUUACACAACCAGCUUGCAACUAUAGAAGUGUCAUGUUAAAAUUUGUAACUAUUCAGGGUCAUUCAGCCUUUUUAAGCAUUAUUUAAGUUUCUAGGCAUUUAAUGUGUAUAAUUCAAAUUUGAGCUACAUGCACAUGCCGAGUGCAUCAAACCGGGUUGAGAAAUCAUAUACAUGUCCUUGGGUGAAUGUUUAGGUCCCAUGCAAGAAAUAGGAAUGAAUUUCAAGCAUCUGGGCGCCAUGGCGCUGCCUUAAACAUUGAGAAACUUGGUUUUAAAAUUCCUGUAAAUCCAAAACUCUCCUAAAUCAUGAAACUUUGCAUGGCGUUUUUAAAUGGCACUAACGUGGCUAGUGACUGCGUCGGUAUUUCCCCAAAUAGGAAGGGAUGAUGCAACACAGCUACUGUAAGUAUUUCCCUCAGUUGUGAAACCAAGGUAUCAAUCUGGUAGGAGAACCAGGCGACAUUAUGUAAAUGGUACCUCCACACAAAGAACAAAUACUUGCAACCCGACGCGUAAGAGGGCUUGUCAAUCCCUCCUCGGUAAAAAGAUAGAAAAUUUGUAUGUGUUUGGAUAAAUAGAUCUGAAUAAAACACGGAAUAAAAAAAGUAAAGAAAAAGUGCAGCAAGGUAUUUUUGGGGUUUUGGAAUAAUAGAUCUGAAAACAAAUAUGGCAAAAGAUAGAUCGGUAAGAAAAUAUGAUAAAAGAUAGACCCGGGGCCGUACAUUUCACUAGUGGCUUCUCUCGACAAAAUUGCAUACGGUGGGUAAACAAAUUACUGUUGGUAAAUUGAUAGAAGAACAAAUAAUUAUGACGAUAUCCAAGGCAAUGAUCAUGAAAAUAGGCAUCACGUCCAAGAUUAGUAGACCGACUCAUGCCUGCAGCCACUACUGUUACUCCACACAUCGACCACUAUGCAGCAUGCAUCUAGUGUAUUAAGUUCAUGAAGAAACGAAGUAAUGCAAUAAGAACGAUGACAUGAUAUAGACAAGAUCUAUUCAUGUUGGAAUAGAUCCCAUCUUUUUAUCCUUAAUAGCAACGGUACAUGUGUGACUCGCUACCCCUUCUGUCACUAGGUGAGGACACCGCAAGAUCAAAACCAUCACAAAGCACCUCUUCCCAUUACAAGAAAAAUCUAUCUAGUUUCCCUAACUAAACCAAAGAUUCGGAGGAGAAAUACAAGGCUAUAAAUAAUUAUGCAUAUAAGAGAUCAACGAAGGCUCAAAUAAUAUUCAUGGACCAAAAUCUGAUCAUAAACUCGAACUUCAUUGGAUCCCAACAAACACACCGCAAAAUGUCAUUACAUCAAAUAGAUCUCCAAGGGACCAUUGUAUUGAGAAUCAAAAAGAGAGAAGAAUCCAUCUAGCUACUGCCUACGGACACAUAGGUCUAUGGUGAACUACUCACACAUCAUCGGAGGAGAACCAAUGAGGAUGAUGAACCCCCUCCGUUAUCGUGUUCCCCUCCAGCAAGGUGCUGGAAUAGGGCUCUAGAUUACAUUUGUGGUUCUGGAACUUGCGGCGGCUGGGAUUGUUUCAUCGACUCUCCUAGGGUUUUUGGGAUAUUCAGGUAUUUUUAGAGCUGAGAUGCGGUGGAGGAGACCCCCGUGAGCCCCAUAACCCAUCAGGGCACGCUAGGGGCCUCUGGCAUGCCCUGGUGUCUUGUGGGCCCCAUGGUCUCCCAUAGGUGCUUCCUUGGCUCCCAAGUUGUCUUCCGGUCCAAAAACAAUCUGCAAAAAGUUUCGCUGCGUUUGGACUCCGUUUGAUAGGGAUAUUCUGCGAAAUAAAAAACAAGAAAAAAAUAGCAUCUAGCACUAGGCACUAUGUCAAUAGUUUCGUCCCAAAAAAUGAUAUAAAGUUGCUAUAUAAUGAUUGUAAAACAUCCAAGAAUGAUAAUAUAACAUCAUGGAACAAUCAAAAAUUAUAGAUACAUUGGAUACGUAUCAGCUUCCCCAAGCUUAUUUCCUGCUCGUCCUCGAGUAGGUAAAUGAUAAAACCAGAAUUUUUGAUGUGGAAUAAUGCCUAACAUGUUCAUCACAUAUUCUUUUCUUUUGUAACAUGGACAUUUGGACUUUUAGAUGGUUCAGAGCAAUAGUCUAUACUUGACAUGAAGACUUCAAUACUCAAGCAUAUCAACAAGCAACCAUGUCUUUCAAAAUAUCAACACUAAAGAAAGUUAUCAUUAGCACAUCAUGCUCAGUCAUUGAUCCACUCACGAAACACACUCGAAUAUUAGCUACAUCCAAUGCUCAAAUAUGAUCAUAGUGCUCCCUAGUUGGUGCUUUAUAAGAGAAGAUGGAGACUCAAAAAAAAUUGCACAAAAGUAAAUAGAUAGGCCCUUCGCAGAGGGAAGCAGAAAUUUGUAGAGGCGCUAGAGCUCAAAGCUUAAAUUGAAAGACAAAAAAAUUUGGGAGGCAUACUUUUCCCGUCAACGAAAACGACCGAGUAGUUCCCAAUACUUUCCAUGCUAGAUACAUCAUCGGAGGUUCCCAAACAUAAAAUAAAGUUUAUUCCUUUUUCCACCAAUCUUUCACAAUCCGUGGCUAGCCGUAUCCAUGGGUGCCUUCUGAUGUCUAUUAUGCAACCUUCUUCUUGUAGACUCAUGUUGGGCCUCCAAGCACGGAGUUUCGUAGGGCAGUACAAAUUUCCCUCGAGUGGAUGACCUAAGGUUUAUCAUUCGUGGGAUGCGUAGGAUGAAGAUGGUCUCUCUCGAACAACCCUGCAACCAAAUAACAAAAGAGUAUCUUGUGUCCCCAACACACCCAAUACAAUGGUAAAUUGUAUAGGUGCACUAGUUCAGCGAAGAGAUGGUGAUACAAGUGUAAUAUGGAUGGUAGGUAUGGGUUUGUAUAAUCUGAAAAUAUAAAAACAGCAAGGUAGCAAAUAGUAGAAGUGAGCAAAAACGGUAUUGCAAUGCUUGGAAACAAGGCCUAGGGUUCAUACUUUCACUAGUGCAAGUUCUCUCAACAAUGAUAACAUAAUUAGAUCAUAUAACAAUCCCUCAACAUGCAACGAAGAAUCACUCCAAAGCUCCUAUCGCGGAGAACAUAAGAUGAAAUUGCUUGUAGGGUACGAAACCACCUCAAAGUUAUUCAUUCCGAUCAAUCCAUUGAGCCAUUCCUAUAAGUGUCACAAACAACCCUAGAGUUCGUAGUAAAAUAACACCAUAUGACACACAUCAAUCAAACCUAAUCUCACCUAGAUACUCCAAUGUCACCACAAGUAUCCGUGGAUCAAUUAUACGAUAUGCAUCAAACAACUUCAGAUUCAUAAUAUUCAAUCCAACAUAAAGAACCUCAAAUAGUGACCCAAGAUUCCUACCGGAGAAACAAGGACGAAAACGUGGAUCAACCCCUAUGCAUAGAUUACCCCAAUGCCACCUCGGGAAUCCGCGAGUUGAGUGCCAAAACAUACAUCAAGUGAAUCAAUAGAACAUCCCAUUGUCACCACGGGUAUCCCAUGCAAGACAUACAUCAAGUGUUCUCAAAUCCAUAAUAGUAUGCAAUCCAAUAAUAGUGACACCACAAAGGUAAAACUCAAUUCAUCACAAGAAGGUAGAGGGGGAAGAACGCCAUAAGAUCCAACUAUAGUAGCAAAGCUCGCGGUACAUCAAGAUUGGGCCAAAUCAAGAACACGAGAGAGAGAGAUCAAACACAUAGCUACUGGUACAUAUCCUCAGCCAUGAGGGUGAACUACUCCCUCCUCGACAUCGUGAGCAUCGGGAUGAUGAAGAUGGCCACCGGUGAUGGUUUCCCCCUCUAGCAGGGUGACGGAACGGGCCCCCGAUUGGCUUUAAGUGGCUACAGAGGCUUGCGGUGGCGGAACUCCCGAUCUAGGUUUCUUUCCGGGGGUUUCUGUUUUUAUAGGAGUUUUUGGCGUUGGGGACAAGUCAGGGGGGUCCAAGAGGCGACGACAAGGCAGGGGCGUGUCCUAAGGGGCUUCCUCCACCCUUGUGGAUGCCUCGUGGCUCUUCUGGUCCAUCUCCGAUACUCUAUGGGCUUCUUCUUCUCCAUAAAAAAUCGUCGUAAAGUUUUAGCUCGUUUGGACUCCGUUUGAUAUUCGUUUUCUGCGAAGCUCAAAAACAAGGAAAAAUAGAAUCUGGUGAUGGGCUCUAGGUUAAUAAGUUAGUCCAAAAAAUAAUAUAAAAUAGCAUAUUAAUGCAUAUAAAACAUCCAAAACAGAUAAUAUAAUAGCAUGGAACAAUCAAAAAUUAUAGAUACGUUGGAGACAUAUCACCUUUCAUACUAACACUUUCCAAGGACAUUAUUAUUUAACAACAUAAACUAUUUUUUUUCAUUUCAGGACUGGGCAUCCCUAUUACUAUCGCACUCUCAUGCAAUGACAAGUGAAUAAACACACAUCUUGAGAAUAACAUAUCUAGCAUGGAAAAUAUUGGCCACCCCUACUACUUCAUGAGCGGUACGGGCAUACAAAAAGGAAAUUCAUUUUGAAAAUUAAAGAUGGCACAUACAAAUUUACUUAGAACGGCACGGAAAUACCGCAUAUAGGUAGGUAUAGUGGACUCAUAUGGAAAGACUAGGUUGAAAGAUUUUGGAUGCACAAGUAGUAUUUCUACUUAGUACAAAUGCAGGCUAGCAAAAAGAUUGAGAAGCAACCAACCAAGAAACAAAAAUUCACAUAAACGAGCAUUGAACAUAUAUAACUAUCACUAAAUAAUGCACGACAAGUAGGAUGUAAUUUCAUUGCAUAACUAUUGACUUUCGUGCUUGCAUAGGGAAUCACAAACCUUAACACCAAUAUUCUCACUAAAGCAUAAUUACUCACCAACAUGACUCAAAUAUCACAUCUCAAAACUAUUACAAAGAAUCAAGUUUAUUUUGCCCAAUGAUCUUCAUGAAAGUUCUUAUUAUAUCCCUCUUGAAUAUCUAUCACUUUUGGACUAAUUUCAUAUGUUACAAUUACUUUUGAUAAGAUCAUACAAAUUUAAGUGAAGAACAUGAGCAUAAAAAAUUUCAUCACUCAAAAUAAUUUAAGUGAAGCAUGAGAUAAUUUCUUCUAAAAUUUACUAUCUCUCAAAUAAAUCUAAGUGAAGCAUGAAAUUAUUUCUUCAAAAAUAUUAAAGCACACCGUGCUAAAAAACAUUUAGGUGAAGCACUAGAGCAAUUUCAUAGCUCAAAAAAUUUAAGUGAAGCACAUAGAGCAAUUCUAACAAAUCAUAGCAUAAUGGCUCUCUCAAAUAGGUGUGUCCAACAUGGAUAAUUGUGACAAAUAACAAGCAAAACAAGCAAUGACUCAUAUAAUACAAGAUGCUCGAAGCAAAACUCAUGAUAUGUGACGAAUAAAAAUAUAGCUCCAAGUAAAAUUACCGAUGGUUAUUAGAAGAAAGAAGGGAUGCCUUCCGGGGCAUCCCCAAGCUUAGUUGCUUGGUUCUCCUUGAAUAUAAACUUGGGGUGCCAUGGGCAUCCCCAAGCUUAGGCUCUUCUCCCUUCGUAUUCCUUCAUCCAUCGUUAUCUCACCUAAAACUUGAAAACUUCAAUCACACAAAACUUAACAAAAUCUUCGUGAGAUCCGUUUGUAUAAUAAAACAAAUCACUACUUAAGUACUAUUGCAAACCCAUUCAUAUUUUGUUAUUGUGUUAUACCUAUUGUAUUCCAACUUCACCAUGGAUUAUACCCCUCGACACAAUCCAUAGAUUCGUCAAAAUAAGCACACAAUGCAAAGAAAACCGAAUCUGUCAAAAACAGAACAAUCUAUAGUAAUCUGGACUUUGUCCAUCCUUUUGUAACUCCAAAAGUUCUGAACAAUUAGGACAACGUAGGCAAUUUGUAUCUCAAUAUUGUGUAAAAAAAUUCAGAAUUUUAUCACGCUCUAGCAAAGCAGAUCAAUUCUGCUACUGGACGCAAAAUUUUCUAUUUUCUAAUAAGAUCAAAGCAACUAUCACCCAUCAUGAUCCUAAAGGCUUUACUUUUCACAAACACUAACUAAAACAUAUAAACACAAUCAUAACAGUAGCAUAAUUGUGUGAACACAAAAAAAAGGAAAUCAAGAAUUUCGAAGAUAAAUAUUGGGUUGCCUCUCAACAAGCUCUUUGUAGCCAUUAUGAUAUGCUUAAGAUUCUAAUGAUGGCCACAAGAAAAAUAAGAUUUGGAGCACAAAGAGAGCAUCAUAAAACUUGCGAAAAACACAUUUAAGUCUAACAUACUUCCUAUGCAUAGGCAUUUUAGGAGCAAACAAAUUAUCAAGGAAAGCAAAAACUAGCUUAUGCAAAGGAGAAGGAUAAAGCAUUGACGAUCUCAACAUAACGAGAGGUAAUUUAGUAACAUGGAAAUUUCUACAACCAUAUUUCCCCCUCUAAUAAUAAUUACAUGUAGGAUCAUAAUUAAAUUCGAAAAUAUAGCUAUCAUAUAAAAUUUUCUCUUCAUGAUCCACAUGCAUAAAAGUUUUAUAAUCUUCCAAGAUAGUGGGAUUAACCUCAACUAAAGUCAUGACCUCUCCAAACCCACUUUUAUCAAAAAAUUCAUAAGAUUGAUCAUUCUACAAAGUAGUGGGAUAAUUAUUACCUAGAGUUGACACUCUUCCAAACCCACUUUCAAUACUAUUACAAACACUAUUAUCAAUAUCAUAUUCAUCAUGAGGCUUAAAUAAUUUUUGAGAUCAUAAGAAGAAUCACCCCAAUCAUGAUUAUUACAAUAAGUAGUGGAUAUAGCAGAAUUAGCAUCCCCAAGCUUGGGGUCUAGCAUAUUAUUAGCACGGUUGACAUUAACAGAAUUUUUACUAACAUCAUUUCAAUCAUGCUUUUCAUUCAAGGAGUUAUCGUGGAUCACUUUAUAAACAUCUUCUGUUAACACUUCAUCACAAAUUUCAGACUCACAAAUCUCAAGCAAAACUUCGUAAAGAUAAUCUAGUGAACUCAUGUGACGCCCGGAUAAUUAAGCUACAGUAAUCCUCCAUUAAUGGUGCCACAUCAUCACAUUACUGUCGCUAAUCCUCAGUUGAUCCAAAUCACUGUUCAUAUUCAAACUCAAAUUUAAAGUCAAAAUUCAAAUUUGCCAAACAUGAAAACUAAAAUGUUCAAAGUGUGGCAAAUAAUCCCUGGGUAUUUGUCAUGAUUGGAACCAACCUCUUUUGGAUUUUGCAAGUGCCCCUAGAAAUUAUUUAGUGGUCCGACAUCAUAUUAAAUGACCUUUUCAAUCUCUAAAAAUGCUUGAACAAUUCCUUUGGCCCUGAAACUUUUUAGGCAACACCACAAUAUUGUUCCUGAACUAUUUGCUAAGUUUCACACUCAACAAAAAUCAUUUGAUGCCUUGUUUCUAUCCAAAACUGUAGCUAUCCUUUUGAUAGAAAAUAAAAGAAAUAAAAUUAAAGAAAAGGAACCCCCCCUUUCCCCACCGGGCCUCAACNNNNNNNNNNNNNNNNNNNNNNNNNNNNNNNNNNNNNNNNNNNNNNNNNNNNNNNNNNNNNNNNNNNNNNNNNNNNNNNNNNNNNNNNNNNNNNNNNNNNNNNNNNNNNNNNNNNNNNNNNNNNNNNNNNNNNNNNNNNNNNNNNNNNNNNNNNNNNNNNNNNNNNNNNNNNNNNNNNNNNNNNNNNNNNNNNNNNNNNNNNNNNNNNNNNNNNNNNNNNNNNNNNNNNNNNNNNNNNNNNNNNNNNNNNNNNNNNNNNNNNNNNNNNNNNNNNNNNNNNNNNNNNNNNNNNNNNNNNNNNNNNNNNNNNNNNNNNNNNNNNNNNNNNNNNNNNNNNNNNNNNNNNNNNNNNNNNNNNNNNNNNNNNNNNNNNNNNNNNNNNNNNNNNNNNNNNNNNNNNNNNNNNNNNNNNNNNNNNNNNNNNNNNNNNNNNNNNNNNNNNNNNNNNNNNNNNNNNNNNNNNNNNNNNNNNNNNNNNNNNNNNNNNNNNNNNNNNNNNNNNNNNNNNNNNNNNNNNNNNNNNNNNNNCGACGCCCCUUGUCACGACCCCGGUGGCGCCGACGCUGUUCGACCCCGCCAGACCCCCGCUGAAUGCCUCCCCACUCCUGCCACGACGCCAGCGCCCCUCGCGAGGCCACCUCACCGCCGGACCUCAUCGUCCUCGUCCUCCUCCCCAUUCCUGGAUCUGGAAGGACCCCCGACGCCGCCACCCGCCGCCUCGAUGCCCCGUCGCCGGAAGCGCAACUCCGGCCCCUCCCCGAGCAUGCCAUUGCACAUCUACACGGCCGGUGAGCCCUCCCGUCUAUUUCCCCUCGAACCCUCAGCUCGCCGUCGUGUUCACGUGACUGCGUCCGGGCGCCGCGCUCCUAAUGCCCCGGCAGCGCCCUGACCUCCCCUAUGAGCUCUCGCGGCUGCUCCCCCUCUCCUCCUCCUCGAUUCACCGGCUUAGGCUGUCGUCCACGCCGCCCAUUCUUCUGACCAAAGCCGUAGUCGCCGUGCGCCCUCGUCGCGGUCGUCGCGACCGUUGACGCGCCCCCAUGCGCCUGUGGCCCCACUUGUCUGUGCACCGGCUUUGCCUGGGCUGCGCCCCGUGCGUGCGCCCGCCCCACCGAUGAUGCUGCCUGCUGCUGCCAUGCGCGGCUGCCACUACUGCCGCUCCUCCUCUUCUAUUGCUGCCGCUGCUAGCCACGGCUGUCACCAGCGCUCGCCGCCGCUGGUCGCUGCUGGUCUUGGCCGCUGGCCUCCGGUGCCCGUGUGUGCCCUGCCAGAGAGGUUGGGCUGGCCCUAUGACAUGUGGGGCCGGCCGGCCAGUUAUUUUAACUUAGGCCUAACCCCCCACCAAUCAUAUUAGUUAGGCCAAUAUGACUACGAUUUAAAAUGUUAAACUGUCCCUGACAUAUGGACCCGACCACUUAAUUAACCCUCUGUCUAAAAUAGUCCACUAGUUAAAACUACUGACUAUGACAUGUGGACCCAGCACACUUUCCUUUUGAAUAAGGUUGACUGGGUCAGCUGCUCACUCAGCAGUGUGACCCAAUUGUCAGCCACACUUUCACAUCUGUGGGCACACUCUUUGUGUACCCAUAGCAAUUACACUUAAUAUAUUUUCGAAUUAAAAUAAAUCCCGUAAUUUUCAGAAAAUUGUUUAAACCUUUGAAAAUUGUUAUAAAAUAAACCGUAGGUCAGAUGAAAAAGUUUUAUACAUGAAAGUUGCUCAGAAAAAUCCAACGAAUCCGGAUACGCGGUCCGUUUAUCUGUCAGAUGCGUCUAACUAUCUGAACAUGGAACGUUCCCCCUCCGGUCAUUUGUCUGACACAGGUCCGGAACCGGGAAAACAUUCCCGGUUGAAUUCCCCCUUCACCUAUAUCGUGUAGCCAUACGUUAGGUCACACCCGGCACAUCAUAUUGCCAUGUUAUGCUUUGUGAUGCUAUGUUUGGUUUAUAUCUAUUGUUUCUUCCUCCUCAUCUCUCCGGUAGACCCCGAGACCGAUGCAGCCCCUGUGAUCGACUACGUCGACGACGACACUUCUUCCUUUUCAACAGAGCUUCCACGCAAGCCCCCCCCCCCUUUGAUCAUCCCGAUAUCGCCCAUUCUAUUCUCUCAUGCUUGCAUUAGAUUUUGCUACUAUUAUUGUUUGCUCCUAUUCUGAUGCAUAGCCUGCUUUUGUAACCUGCUUCUUGUUAUCUUACCUGCUUAUCCUAAACUGCCUAGAAUAGGUUGGUUAGUGAUCCAUCAGUGACCCCCCACCUUGUCCUUGUUGCCCCUGCUUCAUCAUCGAAGACCCGAUCAACAGGAUCGAAGACCAGGCCCCAGCACCGCACAUCACUUCCCCUUAGUUGCUCGACACUACUGGGUUACUGUCGAGUACUGAGGGUGAGACCUCAUCAGCACUUCUGAUGUUAACCCGAUAGUGUAGUUAUUCAGUCGUGGUCAUCGAGGGUGAUUCCGCCUUAACCACUUCCGAUACAACUCUGUCGUGCAACCCCUCAAGUGUGAACCUCGAGGGUGGAUCCUCUUACGUUCACCUUGAUGAUUAAUCGAGUGAAAUCCAUCAAGGGUGACUCCUCAGGUUUCCCCCUUGGUGUUAGACACAAGGUUACUAUGGUUACUAUGAAUUUACACUGAACCAUGUUACUAAAGACGGGUCGGCCCUGAGGGGUACCCACGCGAGCUUAAUUGCGAGUGAUGUGGAGUCGGGUUGACCUGGAAGGUGCCUACGAGAUAAUUACGAGGCGUGACCAGGCAUUCUCAGCCCUUGCCGCAAGUCCUCGAGAUGGGGCGACGGGGUCACAUCUUUCGUGAGUCUCUGCUUGUUACCGCGUGUUCCUAAUCCACUACGAUUUGGAUAUUUGAUCCGAGGGGCCUCUGGCUUGAUAGCACUAACCAUCACGUGGGCAUAGUAUGGGUGUUCUAGGUCGUAUGCAUCAGUCGAACUUUAAUAGACGUCAGCGACUGAGCAGUGCGUGCGGAGUUAAACUGCGUAAGCACCUGCCUUUUUAAUAAGGUAGCUAGGUCUGCUCACCGGCCGCGUUCGCAACGUGCAGGAGUUCCCGGGGUGAUGGCCCAUGACCCCUGUGGCCAUAGGUUUAGUCGGGUGUGCUGACCUCUCUAUUAAGCCUAGGCCGGGUUGCGGCGUAUUGUUUGGCCGAGGCCAGGCAUGACCCAGGAAAGUGUGUCCGGCCGGAGUUAAUCGAGCGUGGUGGGUAAGUUGGUGCACCCCUGCAGGGAAGAAAACAUCUAUCGACAGACUGACCUACGGUAACGAACACUUGGAGUUGUCUCGCGAUCGAUACAACUAGAACUGGAUACUUGUGAUGAGAAAUGGAUUGUGAUGAGAAAUGGAUAAUAUGGCUCUGCGAUUGCUUUCUCGCAAGGAGUCGAGAAAGGAUCUCUAGCCGAGGUUGAUAACACUACUGCUACUUUACUUUAUGCUACUCUUAUCUCUUUUGAUGUUGCAAGAUGCUUGGAGCUGCUUGAAGAUGCUAGUCUUCGAUAGGCUAGGCUUUCCCCUUCUUUUCUGACAUUCUGCAGUUCAGUCCACAUAUACAACCCAUUUCAUUGAUAAUAUAUAGUGUAGGUCCUUGCUUGCGAGUACUUUGGAUGAGUACUCAUGGUUGCUUUGCUCCCCUUUUUCCACCUCUUUCCAUUCUUCUCAAAUGCUGCAACCAGAUGGUGGAGCCCAGGAUCUAGAAGCCACCGCCGACGACUACUACUACCCCGAGGGUGCCUACUACCACGUGACGGACGCCGAUGACCAGGAGUAGUUAGGAGGCUCUCAGGCAGGAGGCCUUGCCUUUUCGAUCGAUGUUGCUUUCUGUGCUAGCCUUCUUAAGGCAGACUUGUUUAACUUAUGUCUGUACUCAGAUAUUGUUGCUUCCGCUGACUCGUUUGUAUUCGAGCUUAUGUAUUCGAGACCUCGAGGCCCCUGGCUUGUAAUAUAAAGCCUGUAUUAUUUUAAUUUGUGUCUAGAGUUGUGUUAUGAUAUCUUCCCGUGAGUCCCUGAUCUUGAUCGUACACAUUUGCGUGUAUGAUUAGUGUAUUAUUCAAUCGGGGACGUCACAAGUUGGUAUCAGAGCCGACUGCCUGUAGGUAGCCCCUUUCCAACUCCUUGGCCGAAGUUGAGUCUAGUCAUCCAAAACUGUUUUACUAACUUGGCUGUGUGGCUUACGGGCCCACGUCGCUGAUGGGUGGUACUAGGAUCUUUUAUUCCUCGUCUAUACUCUGGGAUUCUGAUCUCUCUUCUAUUUGGGUUAAACGUUUUACUAACUUUGACAUUAGGUUCUCGUACCCACUUCCUCCCGGAGAGCCCCGACAUUACGGAUGAUCGCUUGCUUCGCCAGAAGAUUCUACAGAUACUCCUUGAUAUUUCUCGAGACCCUGUGCCCACUGCCUUGCAGUUUCUGACCAUAGAUAAUCCCUGUGAAUAACAUCCUUGCCGCUUGUACCUUCAUACCCAGUUGCUCAUAUUAUUAGAAGAUGAACUCUCCGUUGUUUCGAGAAUCCCCUGUUCCUUCUGCUUAGCAGCUUCUUUUCGCACUGCAGAUAAUUCACUUAACCGGGGUUCGUUCGUCCCCAGUUGUUCUUAUGCUUUCCAAAAUACCUGAAAAUGCUAAUCUGAUCGUUCAAAAUCCUCUGCAGCCCAUUGCUCUUGAUUCUCCUUGCCUGCUUGCAUUAGGAUUAAUUCCAUAUGUCUAGCAAUAUUCUUUAAAAUCCUUGGUGAUUGUCAUUUUGUUCCUAUGGAUUCUAAGUGUGUACGAAUACUCGCAAUCAUCGAUUGGUCGUUAGAAAUUUUCUUCGCGGCUCGGACAUCGUUCCAAAUAUAAGUUAGUUCUUGCCCAAUCAAGAUUCGAUCGGUGUGCCUCUAAGUCUGUUCAAUCCAUCCAGCUUUGAUAAGAACAUCUGAUUCUGAUACACCGAUCUAGAAAUCAAAAUUUUCUUUGUAUCUAAGCAUCGAAUUAUUCAGCUAUUUCUACAAUCCGAUGCCUUUGCAUUAUUCUUCUUCUGGUGGAGUACCGAUGCUCACACCAGAUCCUUUGUAGACCGUCAGAUCCUUUGUUGGAUUAUUAUCCGACUGCCCAUCAUAUUCAAUCACCUUGUGAGUUCUUCCUUGAUACAUAAUGCCUUUGGUAAAUUGUAUCCUCUCCUUCUGUCAACCAUGCUCUACCUUCGAGCUUGUGUUAUUUACUGUUUAAGUUUGUGGUAUAUGUUCCUAAGAUGCUCCUAUGGGUUGAACCUAUGCCUUCUGUAAUGAACCCGAGAGUCCUCACAAGUCAUACCCUUCUGGUGUUUUGCCAGAUCUAAUUUCAACACUACAACAUCAUCAAAAGUGAGAAGUGAAUGGAAGGUUAUGCAUUCAAGAAGUGGGAGUCAACCUCGAACAUUGUGUUCAUGCCCAUGGACCCGAUGUAGAGCUUAUCAUGGAAGCUGCUCGUAAAAAUAAUAAUCUCUUGUUAUAAAUUCAGCAUGUAUUUUGCUCUGAUCCUUUGCAAUCGUGGUUCCGACCAUGAUUGUUCUUCUUUGAUCUCAUUUCGCGGACAAGCUAAAGCACUUGUCUUCUGCGAAUCGAUAUAACUGUCCAACCUCUAUAAUGAACUACCUCGAGCAUUACCCCCCCUACUAUCUCAAGAAUAUCAAAGAACUAUGUUGCUUACUAUGAGUCUUCAUCUAGUAUUGCUUCUCACCAAUUUCAGAUUUCCCUCGGGUUCUGAGUUAUUAGUCACUCGAGAACGCCGGUAAGUGAAUCGAUUCCGCACUUUGAUUCUAUAACUCUAAGUAAUUUUCGUUGCUUACGAGUUUAAUAAUCCUUCAAGUCAUUCCUAGCCUGAUCGGCUAUGUCAUUAUCACGCUAAAUUUUAACUGUGCUACCUGGUUCUUCUUCCCGGAGCACAAUUUUCGACGAUGAGCUAAGCUUACGUCAAUCUUCCUCUUCAUAUCAUUUCACCUUGAACAACAAGCUUGAUUUCAAGUUUGUGUUGUACCCGUGGAUCCAAUAACCUUUCAGUUCAUCAUUCCUUUGACUUGAUGUCAUCGUCGAUCGAUUACAUCUUCAUGAAAUCUCUCGACAAAUGUGUCGUGAUCGUCAUCAACAUUCUGAACUCUUCAAGGAUAUUAAUUAAAUUCAUGAUGAGAAAUACCAUCCUUGCCCCUCGAUGAUUUGUGUUAUCAUCGACAACAUUUUUGCCUUCCCCACAACACAAACUUGUUCGUAUAAUUUUGGAAUUACAUCCUUUUUGACAUGUCGAUGGAUUGCAGUUGAACCCAUCGGCCGCAUCCUCAUCUUUUUCCUAAAAAAAUUGCAUGAGAUGUUCUAGAAAUUCUCGAUGGAUCCUUUGUGUUCCCAAGGUCCGAUGUUUACCUGAUGACCAUGUCAACACUAUCCCUAAGCAUGUGUGUGGUACUCCGAUCAUCAACAAGAACAUUGGGAGCGCAAUGCUAACUGUUCUUGAUCAAUAAUCCAAACACCGUUGUAUGGAUAAACCUCAUAAAUUCCUAUCAUGCUCUGCCUUUCCUUGGGAAAGUUAUACUCCAAUACUUGGGUAUAAACACAUUUCCUUUCCGUUAGUCUGAUUAUCAUAAAAAUCACAUUUUCCCUUUCCAUUGGUUUGUUUAAUCUUUCCUGUGAUCUAUAGGAUAUAACCAAAAAUAAUUCCCUGCUUUUAAAACACCCCGGAGUACAAUCUUGUCUGUGAGAUCCCAUUACCAUCGUUGAUGACAUUUUGGUAACCACCGAUGGACGAGAACUAUGCCUAUUGGUCCGCCUCGUUCAACGAGUAGGAAAAUAGUUCUCUUCGUCCCUCGCCCUUGGUACCAACGUUGUUGGCAACAUACCUGACAAUCUAUCACCUGACAUGCCUUGCUAUCGGCCCCCUUUCUACUUUUAACCCACAUGGUGGGCCCAUAACCCACAGUUCCACAGGAUCGAAACCUUACUUUCAUGUACAACCUUGAUUCCGAGACAUUCUUUGCACUUGGCUUCGUAUGUAAUUCGCGAGCCAACUUCCUCUCCAUGUUUCAUUCUGGUAUCAGAGGCAACAUUAUCCUUCAUUGCUCUGAACCCCAUCAUCACUUGUUUUAGGCAUCCGCUGGAUGCCUACCUGGUUGAAACUUGUUGAACCUCCUUAUAGCACUCUCGAUACAUUUCUUGGUGCUUCUAAAAUCUCCUUCCUAGAGAUAACUAUCGGAUGCCGAUCCUUUCAGACAUCCGUUCUUAUAGCUUCCCUCUUAUUUCACUCCUUAAAUCUCGGGACGAGAUUUCUUAUAGUGGAGGAGAAUAGUGACGCCCAGAUAAUUAAGCUAUAGUAAUCCUCCAUUAAUGGUGCCACAUCAUCACAUUACUGUUGCUAAUCCUCACUUGAUCCAAAUCACUGUUCAUAUUCAAACUCAAAUUUAAAGUCAAAAUUCAAAUUUGCCAAACAUGAAAACUAAAAUGUUCAAAGUGUGGCAAAUAAUCCAUGGGUAUUUUUCAUGAUUGGAACCAGCCUCUUUUGGAUUCUGAAAGUCCCCCUGGAAAUUAUUUAGUGGUCCGACAUCAUAUUAAAUGACCUUUUCAAUCUCUAAAAAUGCUUGCACAAUUCCUUCGGCCCUGAAACUUUUUAGGCAACACCACAAUAUUGUGCUUGAACUAUUAGCUAAGUUUCACACUCGACAAAAAUCAUUUGAUGCCUUGUUUCUAUCCAAAAUAGUAGCUAUCCUUUUGACAGAAAAUAAAAGAAAUAAAAUUACAGAAAAGGAACCCCCCCUUGCCCCACCGGGCCUCAACCCCGCCAGCCCACUCGCCCCCCCACAGGUCGGCCCACCCCUUUGCCUCCUUAUCCCCUCACACUCUAGUAACGCUAGCCUGCUACACCCCACUCCCCCCCGAUCCACCUCUCCCUCUCGCUCUCUCGAUUUGGAUCAAGAGAUCCUCCUCGCCUCUGCACGAUGCCCCUCGUCUCUACCCCGGCGGUGCCGACGCCGUUCGACCCCGCUGGACCCCGCUGAAUGCCUCCCCACUCUUGCCACCACCCCAGCGCCCCUCGCCGAGGCCACCUCGCCGUCCUUGUCCUCCUCCCCGUUCCUGGAUCUGGAAGGACCCCCGAAGCCGCCACCCACCGCCUCGACGCCCCAUCGCCGGAAGCGCAACUCCGGCCCCUCCCCGAGCAUGCCAUUGCACAUCUACACUGCCAGUGAGCCCUCCCGUCUAUUUCCCCUCGAACCCUCAGCUCGUCGUCAUGUUCACGUGACUGCGUCCGAGCGCCGCGCUCCUCACGCCCCGGCAGCGCCCUGACCUCCCCUGUGAGCUCUCGCGGCUGCUCCCCCUCUACCCCUCCUCGAUUCACCUGCUUAUGCUGUCAUCCGCGCCGCCCGUUCUUCUGACCGAAGCCGUAGUUGCCAUGCGCCUCCUCGCGGUCGUCGCGGCCGUUGACGCGCCCCCACGCGCUCGUGGCCCCGCUUGUCCGUGCACCGGCUACGCUAGGGCUGCGCCCCGUGCGUGUGCCCGCCCCACCGGCGAUGCUGCCUGCUGCUGGCGCACGCGGCUGCCACUACAACUGCUGCUCCUCUUCUAUGGCUGCCACUGCUAGCCACGACUGUCACCAGCGCUCGCCGCCGUUGGCCGCCGCUAGUCCUGGCCGCCGGUGCCCGGUGCCCGUGUGUGCUCUGCCAGAGAAGUUAGGCUGGCCCUAUGACAUGUGGGGCCGGCCGACCAGUUAUUUUAACUUAGGCCUAAACCCCCACCAACCAUAUUAGUUAGGCCAAUAUGACUACGAUUUAAAAUGUUAAACUGUCCCUGACAUAUGGACCCCACCACAUAAUUAACCCUCUGUCUAAAAUAAUCCACUAGUUAAAACUACUGACUAUGACAUGUGGACCCAACACACUUUUUUUGGAUAAGGUUGACUGGGUCAGCUGUUGACUCAGGAGUGUGGCCCCACUGUCAGCCACACUUUCACAUCUCUAGGUACACUCUAUGUGUACCCAUAGCAAUUACACUUAAUAUAUUUCCGAAUUAAAAUAAAUCUUGUAAUUUUCAGAAAAUUAUUUAAACCUUGGAAAAUUGUUAUAAAAUAAACCAUAGGUCAGAUGAAAACGUUUUAUACAUGAAAGUUGCUCAGAAAAGUCCAACGAAUCUGGAUACACGGUCCGUUUACUUGUCAGAUGCCUCUAACUAUCUGAACAUGGAACAUUCGCCCUCCGGUCAUCUGUUUGACAUAGGUCUAGAACCGGGAAAACAUUCCCGGUUGAAUUCCCCGUUCACCUAUAUCAUGUAGCCAUAUGUUAGGUCACACCCGACACAUCAUAUUGCCAUGUUAUGCUUUGUGAUGCUAUGUUUGGUUUAUAUAUAUUGUUUCUUCCCCCUCUUCUCAUCGGUAGACCCCGAGACCGAUACUGCCCCUGUGAUCGACUAUGUCGACGACGACACUUCUUCCUUUUCAAGAGAGCUUCCAGGCAAGCCCCCCCCCCCUUUGAUCAUCCCAAUAUCGCCCAUUCCAUUCUCUCAUGCUUGCGUUCAAUUUUGCUACUAUUAUUGAUUGCUCCUAUUCUGAUGCAUAGCCUGCUUUUGUAACCUGCUUAUUGUUACCUUACCUGCUUAUCCUAAACUGCUUAGUAUAGGUUGGUUAGUGAUCCAUUAGUGACCCCCCACAUUGUCCUUGUGACCCCUGCUUCAUCAUCAAAGACCCGAUCAACAGGAUCGAAGACCAGGCCCCGGCACCGCACAUCACUUCCCCUUAGUUGCUCGACACUACUGGGUUACUAUUGAGUGUCGAGGGUGAGCACUCAUCAGCACUUCUGAUGUUAACCUGGUAGUGUAGUUAUUCGGUCGUGGUCAUCGAGGGUGAUUACGCCUUAACCACUUUCGAUACGACUCUGUCGUGCAACCCCUCAAGUGUGAACCUCGAGGGUGGAUCCUCUUACGUUCACCAUGAUGAUUACAUCGAGUGGAAUCCGUCGAGGGUGAGUCCUCAGGUUUUCCCCUUGGUGUUAGACACACGGUUACUAUGGUUAGUAUGACUUUACACUGAACCAUGUUACUAAAGACGGGUCGACCCUAAGGGGUACCCGCGCGAGCUUAAUUGCGAGUGAUGUGGAGUCGGGUUGACCUGGAAGGUGCCCGUGAGAUAAUUACGAGGCAUGGCUGGGUAUUCUUAGCCCUUGUCGCAAGUCCUCGAGACGGGGCGACGGGGUCACAUCUUUCGUGAGUCUCUGCUUGUUACCACGCGUUCGUAAUCCACUACGAUUUGGAUAUUUGAUCCAAGAGGCCUUUGGCCUGAUAGCACUAACCAUCAUGUGGUCAUAGUAUGGGCGUUCUGCGUCGUAUGCAUCAGCCGAAGCUUAAUAGACGUCAGCGAUUGAGCGGCGCGCGUCGGGUUGGACUGCGUAAGCACCUGCCUUUUUAAGGAGGUAGCUAGGUUUGCUCACCGGCCGCGUUCGCAACGUUCAGAAGUUCCCGAGGCGAUGGCCCAUGACCCAUGGGGGCAUAGGUUUAGUCCGGCAUGUUGACUUCUCUAUUAAGCCUAGGUCGGGUUGCAGCGUAUUGUUUGGCCGAGGCCGGGCAUGACCCAGGAAAGUGUGUCCGGACGGAGUUAAUCGAGCGUGAUGGGUAAGUUGGUGCACCCCUGCAGGAAAGAAAACGUCUAUCAAUAGCCUGUCCUAUGGUAACGGACAGCUGGAGUUGUAUCCCGGUCGAUACAACUAGAAAUGGAUACUGUGAUGAGAAAUGGAUUGUGAUGAGAAAUGGAUAAUAUGGCUCUGGGAUUGCUUUCUCGCAGGGAGUCGGGAAAGGAUCUCUGGCCGAGGUUGAUAACACUACUGCUACUUUACUUUAUGCUACUCUUAUCUCUUUUGAUGCUGCAAGAUGCUUGGAGCUGCUUGAAGAUGCUAGUCUUCGAUAGGCUAGGCUUUCCCCUUCUCUUCUGACAUUCUGCAGUUCAGUCCACAUAUACAGCCCAUUUCAUUGAUACCGAUGCAUAUGUAGUGUAGAUCCUUGCUUGCGAGUACUUUAUAUGAGUACUCAUGGUUGCUUUGCUCCCCUUUUUCCACCUCUUUCCAUUCUCUCGGAUGAUGCAACAAGAUGGUGGAGCCCAGGAUCCAGAAGCCACCGCCGACGACUACUACUACCCCGAGGGUGCCUACUACCACAUGACGGACGCUGAUGACCAGGAGUAGUUAGGAGGCUCCCAGGCAGGAGGCCUUGCCUUUUCGAUCGAUGUUGCUUUUUGUGCUAGCCCUCUUAAGGCAGACUUGUUUGAGUUAUGUCUGUACUCAGAUAUUGUUGCUUCCGCUGGCUCGUUUGUAUUCGAGCUUAUGUAUUCGAGCCCUCGAGGCCCCCGACUUGUAAUAUAAGGCUUGUAUUAUUUUAAUUUGUGUCUAGAGUUGUGUUGUGAUAUCUUCCCGUGAGUCCCUGAUCUUGAUCGUACACAUUUCUGUGUAUGGUUAGUGUACGAUUGAAUCGGGGGCGUCACAAGUUGGUAUCAGAGCCGACUGCCUGUAGGUAGCCCCUUUCCAACUCCUUGGCCAAAGUUGAGUCUAGUCAUCCAAAACUAUUUUACUAACUUGGCUGUGUGGCUUACGGGCCCACGUCGCCGAUGGGUGGUACUAGGAUCUUUUAUUCCUCGUCUAUAAUCUGGGAUUCUGAUCUCUCUUCUAUUUGGGUUAAACAUUUUACUAACUUUGACAUUAGGUUCUCGUACCCACUUCCUCCCAGAGAGCCCCGACAUUACCGAUGAUCGCUUGCUUCGCCAGAAGAUUCUGCAGAUACUCCUCGAUGUUUCUUGAGACCCUGUGCCCACUUUCUUGAAGUUCCUAACCACAGAUAAUCCUCGUGAAUAACAUCCUUGCCACUUGUACCUUCUUACCCAGUUGCUCCUAUUAUUACAAGAUGUACUCUUCAUUGUUUCGAGAAUCCUUUGUGCCUUCUGCUUCGCAGCUUCUUUUCACACUGCGGAUAAUUCACUUAACCGGGGUUCGUUCGUCCCCAGUUGUUCUUAUGCUUUCCAAAAUACCUGAAAAUGCUAAUCUGAUCUUUCAAAAUCCUCUACAGCCCAUUACUCUUGAUUCUCCUUGCCUGCUUGCAUUGGGAUUAAUUCCAUAUGUCUAGCAAUAUUCUUUAAAAUUCUUGGUGAUUGUCAUUUUGUUCCUAUGGAUUCUAUGUGUGUACGAAUACUCGCAAUCAUCAAUUGAUCAUUAGAAAUUUUAUUUCCGGCUCGGACAUCGUUCCAAAUAUAAGCUGGUUCUUGCCCAAUCAAGAUUCGAUCGGUGUGCCUCUAAGUCUGUUCAAUCCAUCUAGCUUUGAUCAGAGCAUCUGAUUCUGAUACACUGAUCUAGAAAUCAAAAUUUUCUUUGUAUCUAAGCAUCGAAUUAUUCAGUUGUUUCUACAAUCCGAUGCCUUUGCAUUCUUCUUCUUCUGGUGGAGUACCGAUGCUCACACCAGAUCCUUUGUGGACCGUCAGAUCCUUUGUUGGAUUAUUAUCCGACUGCCGCUCAAAUUCAAUCACCUUGUGAGUUCUUCCCUGAUACAUAAUGCCUUUGGUAAAUUGUAUCCUCUCCUUCUGUCAACCAUGCUCUACCUUCGAGCUUGUGUUAUUUACUCUUUAUGUUUGUUAUAUAUGUUCCUAAGAUGCCCCUAUGGGUUGAACCUAUGCCUUCCCUAAUCCGUGCGAACCCGAGAGUCUUCACAAGUUAUACCCUUCUGGUGUUUUGCCAGAUGUAAUUUCAACACUACAACAUCAUCAAAAGCGAGAAGUGAAUGGAAGGUUAUGCAUUAAAGAAGUGGGAGUCGACCUCGAACUUUGUGUUCAUGCCCAUGGUCCCGAUGUAGAGCUUAUCAUGGAAGCUGCUCGUAAAAAUAAUAAUCCCUUGUUAUAAAUUCAGCUCGUAUUUUGCUCUGAUCCUUUGCAAUCGUGGUUCCAACCAUGAUUGUUCUUCUUUGAUCUCAUUUCGCGGACAAGCUAAAGCACUUGUCUUCUGUAAAUCGAUAUAAUUGUCCAACCUCUAUACUGAACUACCUCGAGCAUUACCCCCCCUACUAUCUCAAGAAUAUCAAAGAACUAUGUUGCUUACUAUGAGUCUUCAUCUAGUAUUGCUUCUCAUUGAUUUUAGAUUUCCCUCGGGUUCUGAGUUAUUAGUCACUCGAGAACGCCGGUAAGUGAAUUGAUUCCACACUUCGAUUCUAUAACUCUAAGUAAUUUUUGUUGCGUACGAGUUUAAUAAUCCUUCAAGUCAUUCCUAGCUUGAUCGGCUAUGUCAUUAUCAUGCUAAAUUUUAACCGUGCUACCUGGUUCUUCCCGCUUGAUUUAUUUUUACAGAGGCAACAUGUCACCUCUAUGUGAGAAAGGACAUACGCUGCCUCUUUGUUGGAAAACGUUGCAGAAAAUUAAAAAUUUCUACGCUUCACCAAGAUCAAUCUAUGGAGUCAUCUAGCAACGAGAUAGAGGAGUGCAUCUACACACCCUUGUAGAUCGCGCAGAAGCGUUCAAGAGAACGGGGUUGAGGGAGUCGUACGUGUCGUGAUCCAAAUCACCGAUGAUCCUAGUGCCGAACGGACGGCACCUCCGCGUUCAACACACGUACGGUUGAGGAACACGUAUCCUCCUUCUUGAUCCAGCAAGGGGAGGGAGAGGUUGAUGGAGAUCCAGCAGCACGACGGCGUGGUGGUGGAAGCAGCAGCGAUCUCGGCAGGGCUUCGCCAAGCUCUACGAGAGGGAGAGGUGUUGCAGAGGGAGAGGGAGGCGCCAGAGACUUGGGUUCGGCUUCCCUCCCUCCCUCUCUUUAUAUAGGGGCCAGGGGGGUGCCGGCCCCCUGGAGAUUGGAUAUCAAGGGGGGCGGCGGCCAAGGGGGUGGCUUGCCCCCCAAGCCAAGUGGGAGGCGCCCCCACCCCUAGGGUUUCCAACCCUAGGCGCAGGGGGGCCUAGGGGGGGGGGCGCACCAGCCCACCAGGGGCUGGUUCCCCUCCCACUUCAGCCCAUGGGGCCCUCCGGGAUAGGUGGCCCCACCCGGUGGACCCCCGGGACCCUUUCGGUGGUCCCGGUACAAUACCGCUGACCCCGGAAACAUUCCCAAUGGCCGAAACUGGACUUCCCAUAUAUAAUUCUUCACCUCCGGACCAUUCCGGAACUCCUCGUGACGUCCGGGAUCUCAUCCGGGACUCCGAACAACUUUUGGAUUAUCGCAUGCUAGUAUCUCUACAACCCUAGCGUCACCGAACCUUAAGUGUGUCGACCCUACGGGUUCGGGAGACAUGCAGACAUGACCGAGACGACUAUCUGGCCAAUAACCAACAGCGGGAUCUGGAUACCCAUGUUGGCACCCACAUGCUCCUCGAUGAUCUCAUCGGAUGAACCACGAUGUCAAGGAUUUCAAGUAAUCCCGUAUACAAUUCCCUUUGUCAAUUGGCACGUUACUUGCCCGAGAUUCGAUCAUCGGUAUGCCAAUACCUCGUUCAAUAUCGUUACCGGCAAGUCACUUUACUCGUACCAUAAUGCAUGAUCCCGUGACUAACCACUUAGUCACUUUGAGCUCAUUAUGAUGAUGCAUUACCGAGUCGGCCCAGAGAUACCUCUUCGUCAUACGGAGUGACAAAUCACAGUCUCGAUCCGUGUCAACCCAACAGACACUUUCGGAGAUACCUGUAGUAUACCUUUAUAGUCACCCAGUUAUGUUGUGACGUUUGGUACACCCAAAGCACUCCUACUGCAUCCGGGAGUUACACUAUCUCAUGGUCUAAGGAAAUGAUACUUGACAUUGGAAAAGCUCUAGCAAACGAACUACACGAUCUUGUGAUAUGCUUAGGAUUGGGUCUUGUCCAUCACAUCAUUCUCCCAAUGAUGUGAUCCCAUUAUCAAUGACAUCCAAUGUCCAUGGUCAGGAAACCGCGACUAUCUAUUGAUAAACGAGCUACUCAACUAGAGGCUCACUAGGGACAUGUUGUGGUCUAUGUAUUCACACAUGUAUUAUGAUUUCCGGAUAACACAAUUAUAGCAUGAAUAAAAGACAAUUAUCAUGAACGAGGAAAUAUAAUAAUAACCAUUUUAUUAUUGCCUCUAGGGCAUAUUUCCAACACUCUUCCCGCGUUGAUUUAUUUUUACAGAGGCAACAUGCAAUUGUAGGAUUGUCAUGUUCAAAUUUGCAAUUAUUCAGGGUUCAUUCGACCUUUUAUACAUUAUUUUCGUUUCUAGGCAUUUAACGUGUGUAAUUCAAAUUUGAACUAUAGGCACAUGGCCUAGUGCACCAAACUGGAUUAAAAAAUCAUAUAUGUGUGCUUGGGUGAAUGUUUAGGUCCCAUGCAAGAAAUGGGAAUGAAUUUCAAACAUCUGGGCGUCAUGGCUCGGCCUUAAACAUUGAAAAACUUGGUUCUAAAAUUCCUGUAAAUCCAAAGUUUGCUUGAAAAUUAUGAAACUUGGCAUGCUGUUAUGACAUGGCACCAACAUGAUGUGGUAAAAAAAUUGUCCGGUUAGGGACAAGUUUUGGUAUAAACUUCUCACAAACCGGAGUUUCUAUCAAAAAGCCUCAUGGUUCUAAAAGGGAACGUGUCACCUCUGUGUGCGAAACAACAUACACUACCUCUUCACAGCUUGAUUUACUUAACAGAAGCAACAUACAACCAUAGGAGUGUGAUGUUAAAAUUGGGAAUUAUUCAGGGGUCGUCCGACCUUUUUACACAUUAUUUGAGUUUCUAGGCAUUUAAUGUGCAUAACUCAAAUUUGAACUACAUGCACAUGUCCUAGUGCACCAUACCGGGUUGAAAAAUCUUAUACGUAUCGUUGGGUAUAUGUUUAGGUGCCAUGCAAGAAAUGGGAAUGUAUUAAUAACAUCUCGGUGGCGUGGCUUGGCCAUAAAUAUUGAGAAAAUUGGUUUUGAAAUACCUGUAAAUCCAAUACUCACCUGAAAAUCAUGAAACUUGGCAUGGUGUUAUGACUUGGCACAGACAAGUUGUGGUCAUCAAUUUGGGACAAGUUUUGGUAUAAACUUCUCACAAACUGGAGUUUCUCUCAAAAAGCCUCAUGGUUCUGAGACGAAACGUGUCCCCUCUUUGUGUUAAACGACAUAUGUUGCCUCUUCCCACCUUGAUUUAUUUUAUGGUUGCAACAUGCAACCGUAGGAGUCGUGAAAAUUUGGAAUUAUUCAGGGUCAUUUGGGCUUUUAUACAUUAUUUGAGUUUCUAGGCAUUUAAUAUGCAUAAUUCAAAUUUGAAUUAAAGGCCCACGCCCCAGUGCACCAAACCGGGUUGAAAAUCAUAUACGUGUCCUUGGGUGAUGAUACGUCUCCAACGUAUCUAUAAUUUUUGAUUGUUCCAUGCUAUUAUAUUACCUCUUUUGGAUGUUUAUGGACUUUAUUUUACACAUUUAUAUCAUUUUUGGGACUAACCUACUAACCGGAGGCCCAGCCCAUAUUGCUGUUUUUUGCCUAUUUCAGUAUUUCGAAAAAAAGGAAUAUCAAACGGAGUCCAAACAGAAUGAAACCUUCGGGAGCGUUAUUUUUGGAACAAAUCUGAUCCGGAGAGCCUGGAGUGCAAGUCAAGAAAGCUCCGAGGGCCCCACGAGAUAGGAGCCCCCCUGUAGGGCGCGCCCCCUGUCUCGUGGGCCCCUCGGGUGUCCACCGACGUACUUCUUCCUCCUAUAUAUGUCUACGUACCCCGAAAACAUCCAGGAGCACCACGGAACACAAUUUCCACCGCCGUAACCUUCUGUAUCCGCGAGAUCCCAUCUUGGAGCCCUUGCCGGCACUGUGCCGGAGGGGGAAGCAACCAUGGAGGGCCUCUACAUCAACAUGCUUGCCCCUCCGAUGAGUUGUGAGUAGUUUACCACAGACCUACGGGUCCAUAGUUAUUAGCUAGAUGGCUUCUUCUCUCUUUUUGAAUCUCAAUACAAUGUUCUCCCCCUCUCUUGUGGAGAUCUAUUCAAUUAAUCUCUUUUUGCGGUGUGUUUGUCGAGAUCCGAUGAAUUGUGGGUUUAUGAUCAAGUUUAUCUAUGAAUAAUAUUUGAAUCUUCUCUGAAUUCUUUUAUGUAUGAUUGAGUUAUCUUUGCAAGUCUCUUCGAAUUAUUAGUUUCGUUUAGCCUACUAGAUUGAUCUUUCUUGCCAUGGGAGAAGUGCUUAGCUUUGGGUUCAAUCUUGCGGUGUUCUUACCCAGUGACAGAAAGGGUUGCAAGACACGUAUUGUAUUGUUGCCAUCGAGGAUAACAAGAUGGGGUUUAUAUCAUAUUGCAUGUGUUUAUCCCUCUACAUCAUGUCAUCUUGCUUAAUGCUUUGCUCUGUUCUUAUGAACUUAAUACUCUAGAUGCAUGCUGGAUAGCGGUCGAUGUGUGGAGUAAUAGUAGUAGAUGCAGGUAGGAGUCGGUCUACUUGUUAUGGACGUGAUGCCUAUAUACAUGAUCAUGCCUAGAUAAUCUCAUAACUAUGCGCUUUUCUAUCAAUUGCUCGACAGUAAUUUGUUCACCCACCGUAAUAUUUAUGCUAUCUUGAGAGAAGCCUCUAGUGAAACCUAUGCCCCCCGGGUCUAUCUUUUAUCAUAUUUGCUUUCAAUCUACUUUAUUUGCAUCUUUAAUUUUUGCAUCUAUCUUAUAAAAUACCAAAAAUAUAUUUAUCUUAUCAUACUAUCUUUAUUAGAUCUCACUUUUGCAAGUGGCCGUGAAGGGAUUGACAACCCCUUUUUGCGUUGGUUGCGAGUUCUCAGUUUGUUUGUGUAGGUGCGUGGGACUUUUGAGGAGCCUCCUACUGGAUUGAUACCUUGGUUCUCAAAAUUGAAGGAAAUACUUACACUACACUUUGCUGCAUCACCCUCUCCUCUUCGAGGAAAACCAACGCAAGCUCAAGACGUAGCAAGAAGGAUUUCUGGCGCCGUUGCUGGGGAGGUCUUCGCCCAAGUCAAGACAUACCAAGUACCCAUCACAAACCCAUCUCCCUCGCAUUUACAUUAUUUGCCAUUUGCCUGUCGUUUUCCUCUGCCCACACUUCACCCUUGCCGUUUUAUUCGCCCUCUCUUUCCCAAUCUGCUCCUCUCUCUUUCGCUUGCCGUUUUUCUGUUUGCUUGUGUGUUGGAUUACUUGUUGCCAUGGCACAAGAUAAUACCAAGUUGUAUGACUUCUUGAAUACCAAUAAUAAUGAUUUCCUUAGUACUCCCAUUGUUCCUCUUAAUGAUGUUGAGUCUUGUGAAAUCAAUAACGCUUUGUUGAAUCUUGUUAUGAAAGAUCAAUUCGCCGGCCUUCCUAGUGAAGAUGCCGCUACUCAUCUAAACAAUUUUGUUGAUUUGUGUGAUAUGCAAAAGAAGAAAGAUACGGAUAACAAUAUUGUCAAAUUGAUGUUAUUCCCGUUUUCACUUAGAGAUCAUGCUAAAGUUUGGUUUUCGUCUUUGCCUAAAAAUAGUAUUGAUUCUUGGAACAAGUGCAAAGAUGCUUUUAUCUCUAAAUAUUUUCCUCCCGCUAAGAUCAUCACUCUUAGGAACGAUAUUAUGAAUUUUAAACAAAUUGAUCAUGAGCAUGUUGCCCAAUCUUGGGAAAGAAUGAAUUUGAUGCUUCGCAAUUUCCCUACUCAUGGUUUGAAUUUAUGGAUGAUCAUACAAAUUUUUUAUGCCGGUUUGAACUUUGCUUCUAGAAAUCUCUUAGAUUCGGCCGCGGGAGGCACCUUUAUAGAAAUCACGUUAGGAGAUGCUACAAAAUUGUUUGAUAAUAUUAUGGCUAAUUAUUGUCAAUGGCACACCGAAAGAUCUUCUAGUAAAAAGGUGCAUGCUAUAGAAGAAAUCAAUGUUUUGAGUGGAAAGAUGGAUGAACUUAUGAAGAUGUUUGUUACUAAAAAUACUCCUCCUCAUCCCAAUGAUAUGCCUUUGUCUUCCUUGAUUGAUAAUAAUAAUGAAUCUAUGGAUGUGAAUUUUGUUGGUAGGAAUAGUUUUGGAAACAAUGCUUAUAGAGGAGAUUUUAAUGCUAGACCAUUCCCUAGUAAUACCCUCUAAUAAUUAUGGAAAUUCCUACAAUAAUUCUUAUGGUAAUUUUAAUAAGAUGCCCUCUGACUUUGAGAAUGGUGUGAAAGAAUUUAUGAUUUCUCAAAAGAAUUUUAAUGGCUUGCUUGAAGAAAAAUUGCUCAAAGUUGAUGAUUUGGCUAGGAACGUUGAUAGACUUUCGCUUGAUGUUAAUUCUCUUAAACUUGGAUCUUCUUCUCCUAAGCAUGAUAUCAAUGAGUCUCUCAAAGUAAUGAGAAUUUCCACCAACAAGUGCAAGGAAAGAACCGCUAGAUUGCAUGCUAAAAAGGAAAGCUUUAUAAAAGCGUGUUCUUCUAGUUUUCAUGAAAAUAAUGAUGAGGAUCUUAAAGUUAUUGAUACUUCUCCGAUUAGAUCUAUGUUUUGCAAUAUGAAUUUUGAUGAUUAUGGGAGUGAUGAUGAAUCAACUUUGCCUAGAAGGCGUCCCAAAAAUUUGGAGUCUUUAGAUCUUGAUGCUAAAAUUGGUAAAAGUGAGAUUGGAGAAUCCUCUAUUUCGAAUAAUAUUGAACUUACUAUCUUGGAUUUCAAGGAAUUUGAUUACGAUAAUUGCUCUUUAAAAGGGUGUAUUUCCUUGUUGCAAUCCGUUGUUAAUUCUCCUCAUGCUUAUAGUCAAAACAAAGCUUUUACCAAACAUAUUGUUGAUGCCUUGAUGCAAUCUUAUGAUGAAAAACUUAAUUUGGAAGUUUCUAUACCUAGAAAACUUAAUGAUGAGUGGGAACCUACUAUAAAGAUUAGAAUUAAAUAUUUUGAGUGUUUUGCUUUGUGUGAUUUGGGUGCUAGUCUUUCCACGAUUCCAAAAACUUUAUGUGAUAUCCUAGGUUUCCAUGAUCUUGAUGAUUGCUCUUUAAAUUUGCACCUUGCGGAUUCCACCAUUAAAAAGCCUAUGGGAAGGAUCAAUGAUGUUCUUAUUAUUGCAAAUAGAAAUUUGGUGCCCAUAGAUUUUAUCGUUCUUGAUAUAGAUUGCAAUCUUUCUUGCCCUAUUAUUCUUGGUAGACCUUUCCUUAGAACGAUUGGUGCGAUUAUUGAUAUGAAGGAAGGGAACAUUAGAUUCCAAUUUCCAUUAAAGAAAGGCAUGGAGCACUUUCCAAGAAAGAAAGACAAAUUACCUUAUGAAUCUAUCAUGUGUGCUACUUAUGAACCUAGUGCCAAAGAUGGCACUCGUUAGAUCUAUCUUUGUUUUUAUGCCUGGCUAGGGGCGUUAAACGAUAGCGCUAGUUGGGAGGCAACCCAAUUUUUCUUUAUGUUUUUUGUUUUUGCUCCUGUUUAGUAAUAAAUCUUGCAUCUACCUUCUGGUUAGAUGUGUUUUUAUCUUUUAAUUAGUGUUUGUGCCAAGUAGAACCUAUAGGAUAACCUACGAUGAUAGUUGAUUUGAUUCUGCUGAAAAACAGAAACUUUGCGCGCACAAAUAUAAUUUUGUUAAUUCACAGGAACGUGUUUUUGCAUUGAUUCUUUUUUCUGAUGUUCAAUAGACAAAUUGUCCAGGACUUCCUAUUUUGGUAGGAAUUUUAGAGUUCCAUAAGUCUAUGUUAGUUACAGAUUGCUACAGACUGUUCUGUUUUUGACAGAUUCUGUUUUUCGUGUGUUGUUUGCUUAUUUCAAUGCAUCUAUUGUUAGUAGAUUAGUUUAUAAACCAUAAAGAAGUUGGAAUACAGUAGUUUUAACACCAAUAUAAAUAAAGAAUGAGUUCAUUGCAGUACCUUAUGUGGUGGUUUUGUUUUCUUUCACUAACGGAGCUUAUAAGAUUUCCUGUUGAGUUUUGUGUUGUGAAGUUUUCAAGUUUUGGGUAAAGCUUUUAUGGACUAUGGAAUAAGGAGUGGCAAGAGCCUAAGCUUGGGGAUGCCCAUGUCACCCCAAGAUAUUAAAGAAUAGCCAAAAGCCUAAGCUUGGGGAUGCCCCGGGAAGGCAUCCCCUCUUUCGUCUUCGUUCAUUGGUAACUUUACUUGGAGCUAUAUUUUUAUUCGCUACAUGAUAUGUGUUUUGCUUGGAGCGUCCUGUAUUAUAUUAGUCUUUGCUUUUUAGUUUACCACAAUCAUCCUUGCUGUACACACCUUUUGGAGAAGCCUAUUUGAUUAGAAUUUGCUAGAAUACUCUAUGUGCUUCACUUAUAUCUUUUGAGCUUGAUAGUUUUUGCUCUAGUGCUUCACUUAUAUCUUUUAGAGCAUGGUGGUGUCUGAAUUUUGAAGAAAUUGCUAGUCUCUCAUGAUUCACUUAUAUUAUUUUGAGAGUCUUUUAGAACAGCAUGGUAUUUGCUAUGAUCAUAAAGUUGGUCCUAGAAUGAUGAGCAUCCAAGUUGGGUAUAAUAAAAACUAUCAUAGAAAGUGAAUUGGAUGCUAUGAUCAAUUUGAUGCUUGAUAAUUGUUUUGAGAUAUGGAGGUAGUGAUAUUAAAGUCAUGCUAGUUGGGUGAUUAUGAAUUUAAAGAAUGCUUGUGUUGAAGCUUGUGAUUCCCGUAGCAUGCACGUAUGGUGAACCGCUUUGUGAUGAAGUUGGAGCAUAAUUUUAUUUAUUGAUUCUCUUCCUUAUGAGUGGCGGUCGGGGACGAGCGAUGGUCUUUUCCUACCAAUCUAUCCCCCAAGGAGCAUGCGCGUAGUACUUUGGUUUUUGAUGACUUCUAAAUUUUUGCAACAAGUAUAUGAGUUCCUUUGAUUAAUGUUGAGUCCAUGGAUUAUAUGCACUCUUUCACCCUUCCACUAUUGCUAGCCUCUCUUGUACCGCGCAAUUUUUGCCGGUACCAUACACCCACCAUUUACCUUCCUCAAAACAGCCACCAUACCUACGUAUUAUGGCAUUUCCAUAGCCAUUCCGAGAUAUGUUGCCAUGCAACUUUCCACCGUUCCGUUCAUAUGACACACAUUACUUUUGUCAUAUUGCUUUUUGCAUGAUCAUGUAGUUGACAUUGUAUUUGUGGCAAGGCCACCUUCAUAAUUUUCAUACAUGUCGCUCUUGAUUCAUUGCAUAUCCCGGUACACCGCCGGAGGCAUUCAUAUAGAGUCAUAUCUUGUUCUAGUUUUGAGUUGUAAAUCCAUAAAAGUGUGAUGAUCUUCAUUAUUAGAGCAUUGUCCUAGUGAGGAAAGGAUGAUGAAGACAAUGAUUCCCCCACAAGUCGGGAUGAGACUUCGGACUUUACAAAAA
RNAcentral lists this long non-coding RNA (69866 nucleotides) under Triticum aestivum (bread wheat). Its description in RNAcentral is "long non-coding RNA (TAES_LNC003800)". The record is from RNAcentral. Lineage: Eukaryota; Viridiplantae; Streptophyta; Magnoliopsida; Poales; Poaceae.